Molecule: long non-coding RNA, 75337 nt
Filed under: Vitis vinifera (wine grape)
Lineage: Eukaryota; Viridiplantae; Streptophyta; Magnoliopsida; Vitales; Vitaceae
Description: long non-coding RNA (VVIN_LNC004957)
Source: RNAcentral
AGCAUGCAAAAAAAGUUUUUUAUUUUUCUUAUUCUUUUUUCUAUGUUCAGCCUUGGUAUUUUAUUAUUUUUCUUUGAUCCUCUUAUCAAUUAUUAUUCCUUAGAUUUUUUGUUUGACCUUUAUAUAUUUGUUCCACGAGAAUAUGACAUGCUGAAUAUGUUUGAUUUUGAUAAGUUGAAGACAAAAAUUUGAUUUUAUCAAGCAUUUUGUUAAUAAAAUGGACAACUUCUUUUCUUCAUAGUUACAUUGUUUGAUAUGAUUUACUAUUGAAGUAAAAUAAUUUUUUAUUUUCAUUAACUUUUAAUAAUUAUUGUGUUUAAAUCAUGCCUGGAAGGAAUAAUUAUGUUAUAUUCUUGUAUUUGCUAAAUUUUUAGUAUUUAUUAGUUCUUUGUUUUGUUGCUAAUAAAAUAGAGGAUAAGUGAUGAAGUGAUUACAUUGUUAGGCAUACUGGAAAUUGCAAUCCACAAUACAUGAGGUGCACCAUCAAUCAGGUAAUAAUCAAUUGUUUAAAAUGCUCGAAUAUACUACUAUGAUUUGUUUGCUUAAAAUCAUAAAGACCAUUGAUAUUAUUAUCAAUUUCUUAUGUUGCUUCAACAAAUCCCAUGCACUACUGACCUUUUGACUACAUCAGGAAUGCAAUUAGCCUUGUUGGUCCAACCUUUAGCCCUUCCUCAUCCAUCUGAGGAGCACAUCCAAGUAAUGUAUUGAUUGCUUUAUUUUCCUAUCUUUCGUUAAGGUUUUGGUGAACGAUUUUGCUUUCACUUUCAUGUUUGUAUAUGUUAGGUUUAUUUAUUCUUAUGCCUUUCUCUAAAAAUGGGUUUUUCUUGUUCACUGGUUAAUGAAGCAUGAUUUGGAAUUUGAAAAGCUUAUAAGUGGACUAUUACCCUUUUCCUUAGAGAUUAGGGAAAAGGAAGAAAGUAAUAGUUUUUUUAUUGAGAGGGUGUUUUGAUAUGUCUAGAAGUAAGAAUGGAGAAGAAAUAAAUCUUCCCUUUUCCAAGGGGCUUCUUUGUUUGAGGGUUUAGUGAAUUGAUAAAGGUAUGUUUCACAAUCUAGGAGGGUGUUACUUCAAUUUACUUUUAAGUUCCAUGUGGAGGGGAAUAAAUAACAAUUUUGAAGGAGAGUAGUUGUUUUAUGGGAUAAUUGGGUUUUAGAGGUUAUUGAGAUGGAGGUGUGUGCUUUUUCCAUUUCUUGCCAAUUCAUGAGCUAUGAGGAUAAUUUUGUAUUAAUUUUUACUAAGGUGUAUGAGCCUUUUCUUAGGGAACAAAGAGAGGACUUUUGGGAAGAAUUGACUGACAUUAGAGGGUUUUGGACUGUUAUUAAAUAGUAAAAACAUUUUAGUUGUCAAAAUGUGAAAAUAAUCAUAAUCUUUUAAAAAUAUGACAUAUGAGCUUUUGUUAAAAAAUAUUCAUCAUUAGAAGAUGUUUGACUACUAUUAUGUUAUAGAUAUUUUUCUCCAUAUUUUUUUUUAUGCAGGCCAAUUUAUUUUUUAUUAAGUUGUAGAAUUUAUAUAGUUGUUGUUAGCUUUGAUAGUAAUAAAUAAGAUGAAUGAUAAGUAUGAUACAAUUGGCCUCCAUUUGGGAUGCAAUGUUGCAUUAAUGCUUAUCAAAUGGUAGGAAAUGUUAAUCCUUUUAACUUAACAAAAAACUUAGUUGAUAAAGUAUCAUGGUGUGAACCCUAUUUAUUUCAUGUUACACCAUAUUCCCAAACCUUCCUUUGUUGAUGUUGCGCAUUCGAUGAGGUCUAUUAUUACUAGGCGAUGCCUAAUUGAAUAUUUUAAUGGACUAUUGAUGUUGAUGUUCUCUUGUCCCAAACUUAGUUGGUUUAUUUUUCUAUUUUCUUUUGGGUUAUACUAAAGAUUUAAUGGAUUAUUGAUGUUGAUAUUUUCUUGUCCUAUAUUUGAUUAAUCUCUUGCUUUGUGUUAUAACCAUUGAUAGUAAUUUUUUUGUAAUUAUUCUUAGGGUCACAUAUGUCGAUUGGUAUACACAUUUGUUUUCCUCUUAUAUUGUCAUUAUCAUUUCUUUCUUUCUAUUUCUAAAAGUGUUCACUUAUAUAUCUUUUUUUGAAAUUGUAAUUGAUUUUAGUUUUUUGUGCAUGUAGGUCAUCUUUUUGGGAAAUUAACCUUAUAGUUGGAUAAACUACCAUGAAGCAUUAUGUUGAAGACCAAGGCAUAAUUGGGUUGCAUGUAAAGAAAAAAUGGACCAUUUUAAGGAACUAAACAUUAAAGUUGUGACUUUUAUUUUUUUUGGUUAUUUUAAUAUCUUUUAGUUUUUUUGUGUUUCUUAUACAAGUUCUCUAUCUAUGAUUAAAUAUUGCAAUUUGGAAAUGUAUUACCAAGUGAAAAAUUAGGUGCAACAACUAAUUUCAUUGGUACAUAAUUUUUUAUUUUUAUGUGUAUGCAUUAUUUCAAUAGCAAGUGAAAAAAUUAUUAAAUCAAAACUAAAAUUAAAUAAUUAUCUUCCUUGAUGCUUUUACUAAGUGUCAAGGAAUGAGAGCAAUUCUCUUCAAUGGCGCUUUCUAGAAGUGUCAUUAUCAUUCGAUAUUUGAAACCACUAAACAAUGGCACUUAUAGAAAGUGUCAAGGUUUCUUCAACUCAACAAUGAUGCUUAUAGAAGUGUCAAUGUAAUUUGAUAUAACUAACAAUGACACUUUUUUAAGCGUCAAGGUUCUUUUCAAUGACGCUUUCUAGAAGGGUCAUUGUAGGCAAAUACUUAUUAUGACAGGCUAGUAGAUGACGCUUUGGGGAAGCGCCAUUGAAUGUAUUUCUUGACACUUAAAAAGUGUCAUGGUUAACCUUUUUUCUUAUAGUGAAAUCCUCCUAUUAUGUUAUCAAGUGACAUACUCUUAACUCCAAGUAACACAUGUUAAAUUCUACUAAAGGAAUUAUUGUGGCUACAAAUUUUAUGAUCACAUGUCCUUAAGAUCACUGAAGGGGACACAUUGUCUUAAUACCCUGAGAUAUCAUGAUGCCUUUAUUGAAAAUAAUUGUUGCCACCAACCUCCAUCAAUAGUGACUCAAUCUAUAGAGAUAUAUGACCACUUUAGGUUGGUCAAAGCCUCCUAUUGAUUUUGACACAAGUUCAAUAUCCUCUCCAGGUUGAGAGUCUAUGCAAUAUAAUAGCUUGGUGAAUCAUGAAAACCUAAUAACCUUAUGUUAUGAUUCAUUUUUAGUCCUGUCCAAUGUGUAACUAUACAUACUAGUGCACCCAUCAUGGAAAACUCAUCCCAAAUGCUAAGAGAAUUUGUCCCUCCAAUUAGGAGAUAGUGCGCUAAGUCUUUACUAGAUUGCCCAAAUCCAUGAACUGAUUAUGAACAAUUUAUUAUCUUGCAAGGAACCUAUGACUUGUAUCUUCUGUACAAAUCCUAAUGUACUCAAGUCAUGUACAAUGCAAAUAAUAUGAGUCUGAAUGCUCAAAAUAAUGUCAAUGCAUAAAAGGGAUAGUAGGAGGAUGGUGAAGUCUAACUUUGUUACAUUAUGUCUUGCUUUGAGAAGCUCAAUCCCAACAGUUAACUUAAAGGAUUGGGAUGGAGUUACAAAUGAUUUGAAAAGCACCCUUUUGAGUGUGUAUUUUGCAGGAAUAUUUAGAUUACUCCAAUCAUGGCCCUUGAUCUCUAGGGUUCAUGCAAAACUAUCUUAGGCUCAUAUAGAUUUACACAACGAAACCAUGAGACAUAUUAAAAUAAUAGAUAUAUAGAAUAGAUGUUAUAUCUAUGAUUUGGAUGCUCCUAGAUCGAUUCCAAUUGAUGAAAAAUUGACACAAAUCUUGAAGACCAAUAGCUCUUCUACUUGAUGACUCUCUUUUUUGGAUCUUGGUAUAUGAGGGGCUAGAAUUCUCUCUGAUGAGGAUGGAGGAUAAGGUUUCUCUCUUUGGAAGACUAACUAGCAAGAGUUUCCAGUCUCAACCCCUAGGGGAGUUUAUAUAGGCUUCCCUAUGGGCUUAAGUGACUUGAGUUCGUCUUAGGCUUGGGUCACUUAAUCCAACUAAUUAGGUUUUAAUUAAUUAAAUAGCCCAAAUAAAAAAGAUCAUUCAUAAACUUUGACGUAACCUUACGUAUUUACCAAAAUACUAUUAUGCACACAUACGAAUAAAAAACCUAAGUGUCCCUCAAUAAAUGUACUGCAAGGAAUAUGAGCUCGAACCAUAGAAAAAGAAUGGCUCUCCAAGAAUCUAAUUUUGAAGUUGACUUAAUUAUACUUUCCUAUGAUAUUAGAAUGGGAUACUAAAACUUAAGUCUGCAACCUACUAUCCAUUAUAUAAGGGCUCCCCACAAAGUGGUGUUCGUGAUGUAACAAGGUAGAUGUUAUCAAUCUCUCAAAAUUAUCAUUACCAUCCUUGAGUCUCAAAUCCUCUUAUUAUGUGAUCUACUGAUAUACUCUAGCUCUAUAAGAGUAUAUGUCAAAUUCCACUCAAUGAAUUACUAUGACCAUCAAUUUCCUAAUCACAUGUCCUUGGCAAGGGGACGUUGUUUCAAACCCAUGAGAUAUCAUGGUGCCUAUCUUAAGAAUGCUUGUUGCAACCAAUCUUGAUCAAUAGUGAUCCAAUCUAUAAGGAAUAAGCAAAAACAACAUAAAGAAUGAUUGUUUCAUAAACAUCCAAAGUGAUAAAUUAUAUUGAAUGAGAACAAAUUAUAACAUGUUAAAUGAGAUAGACAUGUUGGUAAAUGAAUUAAACCUAUCACUUGUUAAAUCUGCCAGAAAUUUUGAGGCUUUAAUGCAAAUGAAGGGCAUAUCUCAUCAAUUUUUUCUAAGCUAAUGAGUCAAUUAGAUGUCUCAUUAUCACAUCUUUCAUAUUAUCUCAACAUGCCAUUUCAUGUAAGAAGCUAUCCUUGAUGACAUAAAUAGCCUUUGAAGCUUAGGUUUUAAAGGAAAGUAUUACGAGACCUUACUAGAAAUAUGUUUUCUUUCUUUUUUUUUGUGAUGAUUUGUUGGUUUCAUCAAAAGAACAACCCUUACCUGAUUUUCAUCUAGUUUCACCACAUACAAUGCAUUCAUUAGCAUAUGCAUGCUCCUUUGAGUACAACAAGUAAUUAGAAGGGCAUGCAUGUGUCUUCUUAUAAUGAAGUCCAAGUUCAUGAAGUCUUUUUUUAGUUUCAUAGUAAGUACUUGACAAUUUCUCACUUUUAGGAAGUGUCUUCUUCAAUAAUUUAAGUAACAUUGUGAAUUUAUUACUCCAUCCAUUAAGACAUUUUAUAUGAAAUAGUCUUAUAAUAAAAGCUAACUUUGUGAAUUUUUUACAUUUGGGAUGCAAUUCUUACUCAAUUUCUCUCAACAAUUUAUAAAUUUUGUUUGCAUCUUUGAUCAUAUCUUCAAGCUUAUGUUAAACAUGUGAACUACUUCCACAAUCUACUGAAUUAUCAAUAUUUGACACUCCAAAUGCAUCAUGUAACAUUCCUUGUAUAUCAUCAUCCAUGUGAGACUCAUCACUGAAAUUUUCUAAUUCAUCAAACUCAUAUUCCUCCUACAUUAACCAAUACACAUAAUUUCUAGUUAUCUCAUUAUCUAAUAAAUGGUUAUGCAUUGUUCCUCGAUUUUGUAUAAGAUAGUUAUUGCAACGAACAUAGGGACAUGGGAGCUAUCUCUACCUAAUGCAUUACUGAAGGCAAACUCUAGGAAUUGUAAAACUCCAUUAUCAUAUUAACUACUUAUCCUUAGUUUUUUCAUCUAACUCUUUUCUAUUGGUGUUUCUUGUAGUUCUCUAUUGAGAAUGCCCUUCUACGAUACAAGAAGGAAUGCAAAUGUUAACCUAUAAUGCAUUUGUUAUAAUUCUUACUAUAAAUUAGGUGGUGGUUUUUUCUCCAUUUAAGAAUACAUAAUCUCUAAGAGUUAAUUGCCAAGGUGCUUGAUACUCCAUUUUGAGAAAAUUUUGAUAGUAUUUCCACAUUGUUCUCGAAGUACACAAUUUGGCUAAGGCACAAACACAUAGUAUGUCCCUUAUCCAAAUAUGCUCCCAAAGACUGAGAGGAAUGACCGUUAAAAUAUCUUAAUAUGGAAAAAGCACUUGAAAUUGAGUUAAUAAAUACUAUGUAUUCUUAAAUUGUCCAAAUGGAUAAUUCAAACAUCAUUUGCAAACAAAUCAUCAAUCACAUGGUAAAUAUAUACAUUGUCAACUUGCAUUUAGCUCAAUAAGAAAGCCAUUUCUACAAUUCAUUUAUCAUGCAAUGAUGCUUGAACCAGAAAAGGAUUCAAUAUUCUCCAACUACUUAUUGCAUUAAGUAAUAUGUUUUUAACUAUCCAACACAUCACUAAAGCUAGAAAGCUUGUAAUAAGACAACUAGAAUAAGACAAAGUCAUUUACAAUAAAACUAGGUUAAUUAGAAAAGGACAAAUGCUACUGAUCAGCUUUAACAUUGACUAGUACAUAACUAAUCAAACAAAUAAAAAACAAAUAUUUAUAUCACAAAGAAACUAAAGAAACCCUUCUUAUAAGUUAGUGGUUUAAAUUCACAUAAUAUUCGCAUAACAACAAAGUCUUUAUAACCUAACAUUUAGCACGAGAUUUGAAACUUCUUACAUGAUAAAUUGAGUAUUUUCAAUAAAAAUGAAGGAUACCUUUAUACUAAAAAGACCAUAGAGAUAAAAAUAAGAUUAUUUAUUAUAUUUUUAACCAAUAUAAUUGGAUCUCCAUAUGACAUGCCACUAUAAUAAAGUACUAAACUACCUUUGAAAGUCACAUCUUUUAAGUUCUUUACUUUUUACACCAAAUAGUGAAUGUGGGAUAGGUAGCAUACUAGUUUUCUAAGUCCACAAUCGUAACCAUUUUUAGUAAAAAUACAAGACCAAUCACUUGAAGAUAAUGAAGCUUCAAAAUUUAGAAGCUCAAUUUCUCUUAAAAUUGAAAACCAAGAAGCCUACUCUUUUUUAACAACCCAAAAUCAUUGAUAUGGUUUUUUUAAAGCGCUACCUCCCUAAUUUUAGGUCUCUUCUCAAGCACUGAUCCCUCUCUAUAUCCUUUUCUUUUCUUUAUUAAUUGAUUAAUUGAUUUUUUACUAAAAAUCAAUGGUUUAAAUCAACAGGAUAUUAUAGAGAACAGAAGAGGAGAUUUUCAUCGAAGAAAGUAGCACACACAACAAUGGUUUAAAUCAACAGGAUAUUAUAGAGAACCGAUUGGCAUAACUCUUGUGUCAAUUGGAAUAACAGUAUAUAGAACAUCGGUAGUAGUUGGAGAGUAGUUUAGUUCGACAAGACCAUUUGGUUCAUCAACUCCAUCAAACCAUGGGCAACCAAGGACGUCCAAUGCGAAAUUAUUCGAAUUCGGAAGAGAAUACCGCUGGUUACUCUCAGGAAGCAAUAUCACCAUGAUUAACUUCAAAAGGGGAGGUUUUACACCGACCUCGUGAACUCGGAGAGUUUGAACAAAAAUACAAAGAGCUGGCAGUAGAGGUCCAUCAACUGAAGUUGUAGGUAAAUCUGGGGACAGGAACCAUAAGAGAAUGGAAAGGUAUGAUGCACUCCUUGCUAUCCUCACAAUUACUCCAAGAAGAAUUACUGUCACACUAUGUAACGCCAAAAUUCAACCUCUACAACAGAAUGAGAGACUCGAUGAAACAUAUUUACUAGUUUCGUCAACUGAUGGCGUUGAUUGAUGAUUGUGAAAGUCUGUUUUGUCGAGUUUUUCCAACAAGUUUAGGGGGUUGUACUUUGAACUAGUUUCAUUAACUUCCUCUGCACUCGAUCCAUAGCUUUGCCUAGUUAUUUGAUCAAUUUUGUUAAAGUAUAUUAUGUUAUGGGCUCUAGGCCCAGUUAGGUUACUUGUAUAGUACUUGUACUACACACUUGUACCGCACAGUACUUGUACCGCACACUUGUACCGCACCUUUGUACUGCACCCUUGUACUGCACACAUAUGCCUCCUAUAUAAAGGCACUGAUGUAUACUCUUUAAAUCACAGAAUAGAAUACAAUUAUUCUAUAUUUCUAACAUGGUAUCAAAGCCACUGCUCUGACCUUUUUCUUAGCAGUCUUGUCUUCAUUAGUGUGACUUCCUUCUUUCACUAAACACUUCCGCCAUCAUAACUGCCGCUGUAACCUCUUGCCGUUGAACCUCCGACGUCAUCCAGUCGUUGUCCUUGGGUUCCAGACCUGCAGUCGCCGUCGUUAAGAAGUUCCACACUGCACAGACCACUGCCUUUUGCAUUACCGCUGCAAAUAUUGCUCCGAUUUCAUUUUUGAAGGUACCACUGAGAUCUCCUGCGCUGAUCUACACAUUCGUGGAUAUCUCGCCGCCAUCGGAGACUUCACACACCUCUAUGCGCCUACACGCGCCUCCACGCAAUGCCACGUCAGCCCUAGCUGCGUCAGCAUCCACUGAUCUGCUGACGUCAUCUCCACGUCAUCUUCAGUCGUUGACCGUUGACUGUCCGUUGAACGUUGACCAUCCGUUGACCUUUGACCGUUGACUUUCACUGUUGACCGUUGACUUUCCGGUUGGCUUUUUCCCGGCCAGGUUCUCCUUACCCAGUUUUUCGUGUAGAUUUCAUUUAUGCAGUCGGUUUUUGCAUAUUGUGUCCCUAAAUGGAUAAGAAGGAUGUUUUUCUUCCUCGCCCCAUCCAUACUGUAUUGGAGGGGACUAAAAAUUACUUAUCCUGGUCUCAAGCUAUGCGUAGUUUUCUUAAGAGCCGCAUGCUCUGGCAUUAUUGUACUGGUGCAAUGACUAUUCCUGUCAAGGGAGCAAGUGAAGAAGAUGCUGCCUUUCUUAGUCGCAUGAUUGAAUGGGAUAGUCAUAACCACAUGAUCCUCACAUGGAUCCGGAACACUUCCAUUCCCUCUAUUUCCAAUCUAUUGGGCAGCUUUGACGAUGCAAAAUCUGCAUGGGAUAUGUUGACCAAAAGGUACUCCACUACUCAUGGAUCCAUGAAAUAUCAGUUAGUGGUUGAAUUGCAUCAACUCAGGCAAGAACCGGGGCAAUCCAUCAAUGACUAUUAUGAUCAGCUUCGCUUCAUUUGAGACCAAAUUGACCUUUCUGAUCCAACUUGGGCAUGCUCAAAAAAUGCUCAAUAAUAUGCUUCCAUCAGAGAUGAAUUUCGCCUCUAUGAAUUCUUGAUGUCACUUCACAAUGACUUUGAGCCCAUUCGUGGUCAGCUGCUAAAUCACAGUCCUACUCCCUCUCUUGAUACUGCUGUGAAUGAGUUGGUUAGAGAAGAAGCUCGUCUUGCAACCCUUCAAGCCCAAAAUAAGCUCAAUAUUUUGGCUAUUACUCCAUCUACUCCACUCAUAGAGCAACCUAAGCAAUUGGGUGAUUUUUCUGGCUCUAGCAAUCAUUGCAAGCAAACCAACAAGAAGUUCUGCAACUAUUGCAAGCGUCCUGGCCACACCAUUGAGACUUGUUACCGUCGUAACAAAUCUACUGUUGCUGUUGCUAAUACUGAACCUACUCCGCCAACAGUUUCCACGUCCCAGUCUUCUGGAUCUACUAUCAACCUCUCCUCCACUGAACUACAGGAGAUCAUAUCUCAGGCUGUUCGUAUGGCUGGUAAUGCAUCUCUUUCCACUGCCUUAUCUGCUCUACCUGGUAAGUCUCAAACUUGGCUCUUUGAUUCUGCCUGCUGCAAUCACAUGACACCUCACUCAUCCCUGUUCUCCAAACUUGACCCUGCACCACAUCCUCUAAAUAUUCAUAUAGCCGAUGGUUCCACCAUGCAUGGAAAUAGUCUAGGUUUUGUUUCAACCUCUACUCUUUCUGUUCCUAGAGUCUUCCACGUACUUGCCCUAUCCUAUAAUUUGUGCUCUGUGGGACAAUUAGCUGAACUAGGUUAUCGCCUUAUUUUUUACUAUUCUGGGUGUAUUGUGCAGGAUCCGAGGACGGGGCAGGAGCUUGGGACCGGUCCUAGAGUUGGGCGUAUGUUUCCCGUGAACAAUCUUCAUCUUCCACCUGUUGCUCCUGUUUCUGUUGCUGCUGCAACAGCUGCAGUUUCUUCCUUAUCUUCUCUUGCACUUUGGCAUUCUCGUCUUGGUCAUGCACCAUCUUCUCGGGUACAACAGUUAGUGUCUAGAGGUCUGUUGGGUUCUGUGUCUAAAGACAAUUUUGAUUGCACUUCAUGUCAGUUAGGAAAACAGCCAGCUUUGCCUUUUAAUAACAGUGAAUCCAUUUCUAAAAGUAUUUUUGAGUUAAUUCAUUCUGAUGUUUGGGGACCUUCUCCUGUUGCUAGUAUUGGUGGAUCUCGAUAUUUUGUUGUUUUUAUUGAUGAUUAUUCUCGUUAUAGUUGGAUUUUUCCUAUGAAAUCUCGUUCCGAAAUUUUAUCAAUAUAUAGCAACUUUGCAAAAAUGAUUGAAACUCAAUUCUCCAAACGUAUCAAAACCUUUCGAUCUGAUAAUGCUCUUGAAUACACUCAACAUGCAUUUCAAGCUUUGUUACAUUCCUAUGGCACUAUACAUCAUCUAACUUGUCCAGGUACCUCUCAGCAAAAUGGUCGAGCCGAAAGAAAACUUCGUCAUAUUCUUGACACUAUUCGUGCUCUACUUCUUUCUACCAAAAUUCCUGCCCCAUUUUGGGGUGAAGCUAGUCUUCAUGCUGUUCAUGCAAUUAACCGCAUUCCAAGUGCUGUCAUCCAUAAUCAGACUCCGUAUGAGCGUCUCUUUGGGUCACCCCCUAACUAUCAUCACCUUCGCUCCUUUGGAUCCGCUUGUUUUGUCCUUCUUCAGCCUCAUGAGCACAACAAACUUGAGCCUCGAUCUAGACUCUGUUGUUUCCUUGGUUAUGGAGAAACUUAAAAGGGGUAUAGGUGUUAUGAUCCUGUCUCUCAUCGUCUUCGCGUUUCUCGUAAUGUUGUCUUUUGGGAACAUCGAUUGUUUGUUGAACUCUCUCACUUUCGUUCUUCCUUGACUAACUCCUCUGUUUUAGAAAUCUUUCCCGAUGAGUCUCUUGUUCCUUCUACAAAUACUUUUGAUCCUCAUUUAGACUUCUCUCUAGAUAUCUUUGAUGCUUCUCCUAAACAGGUUGCAGAUGAACAGAUUAAUCACGAGCUACCCCACUUUGAGCCUGGGUCCCCUGCUCCUACUCUGCCUGAAGAUCCUCCACAAGACAUUCCACCUCGCCACUCAACCCGGGUAAGAUCCAUUCCUCCACACCUCCUUGACUAUCAUUGUUACACUGCCCUUGCUACACUUCACGAGCCUCAAACCUAUCGUGAGGCCUCUACUGACCCUUUAUGGCAGAUUGCAAUGAAAGAGGAACUUGAUGCAUUAACUAAAAACCAUACUUGGGACCUGGUUACUCUCCCUCCUGGACAGUCUGUGGUUGGUUGUAAGUGGAUCUAUAAGAUCAAGACUCACUCUGAUGGAUCCGUUGAGCGCUAUAAGGCUCGUCUUGUUGCCAAAGGUUUUACACAAGAGUAUGGGAUUGAUUAUGAAGAGACGUUUGCUCCAGUUGCUCGUAUCUCAUCUGUUCGUGCUCUCUUAGCUGUUGCUGCUGCUCGUAAAUGGGAUCUUUUUCAGAUGGAUGUUAAAAAUGCCUUCCUUAAUGGGGAUCUGAGUGAAGAAGUCUAUAUGCAACCUCCUCCUGGUCUCUUUGUUGAAUCAAACAAGGUUUGUCAUCUUCGACGUGCACUUUAUGGUCUCAAACAAGCCCCAAGUGCUUGGUUUGCCAAGUUCAGCUCCACUAUUUUUCGCUUGGGUUACACCGCCAGUCCAUAUGAUUCUGCCUUAUUUCUUCGUCGUACUGAUAAAGGCACUAUUUUGCUUCUUCUCUAUGUGGAUGAUAUGAUCAUAACUGGUGAUGACCUUAGUGGCAUUCAAGAACUCAAAGAUUUUCUCAGUCAGCAGUUUGAGAUGAAAGAUCUUGGACAUCUCAGCUAUUUCUUGGGUCUUGAAAUUACUCAUUCCACAGAUGGUCUUUAUAUUACUCAAGCCAAGUAUGCUUCUGACCUGUUGUCUCAAGCUGGACUCACUGACAGCAAAAUUGUUGACACUCCAGUUGAACUUAAUGCGCAUCUGACACCCUCGGGGGGGGGGGGGGGGGGGGGAAACCAUUGUCUAAUCCUUCUCUUUACAUACGAUUGGUUGGCAGCUUAGUUUACCUCACAGUUACUCGUCCAGACAUCUCCUAUGUUGUUCAUCAGGUGAGCCAGUAUUUGUCUGCUCCACGAUCAACUCACUAUGCUGCUAUUCUGCGCAUUCUUCGAUACCUGAAGGGUACCCUUUUUCAUGGCCUUUUCUACUCAGCUCAGUCUCCUCUUGUACUCCGUGCAUUCUCAGAUGUUGAUUGGGCAGGAGAUCCUAUUGAUCGCAGGUCCACUACAGGUUAUUGCUUCCUCCUUGGUUCUUUUUUGAUUUCUUGGCGAAGUAAGAAACAAACUUUUGUGGCCCGCUCCAGUACUGAAGCAGAAUAUCAUGCCUUUGCUGAUAGCACAUCUGAGCUCCUUUGGCUAAGAUGGCUUCUUAAGGAUUUGGGUGUAUCCACCUCCUUUGCUACUCCUCUUUAUUGUGACAACCAAAGUGCUAUUCAUAUUGCUCACAAUGAUGUCUUUCAUGAACGGACUAAACACAUCGAGAUUGAUUGUCAUUUUAUCCGUUAUCAUCUUGUCCAUGGUGCUCUUAAGCUUUUCUCCGUCUCCUCCAAAGAUCAACUUGCAGAUAUCUUCACCAAGUCUCUUCCUAAGAGACGCACUCGUGAUUUAGUUGACAACCUCAAGUUGGUCUCACAUCCACCUUGAAGUUGAGGGGGGCUGUUAAAGUAUAUUAUGUUAUGGGCUCUAGGCCCAGUUAGGUUACUUGUAUAGUACUUGUACUACACACUUGUACCGCACAAUACUUGUACCGCACACUUGUACCGCACCUUUGUACUGCACCCUUGUACUGCACACAUAUGCCUCCUAUAUAAAGGCACUGAUGUAUACUCUUUAAAUCACAAAAUAGAAUACAAUUAUUCUAUAUUUCUAACAAAUUUGUAGUCUAGUAUGCAUGCAACGCUUGACCAUGCAGAGAUGUCGAUCACUUGUUUAACUUAAAGAAAAAUCCAGGAGAACCGCUCAGAAAGUUGAUCUAUCAUUUUGUGAGCAGAAUGGUGUAGGUAGAAAAUUGUAACCAAAAAACAACAAUUGUCAUUUUUCGGAAGGCACUACCUCCUGGGAGUUUGCUACUGUGAUUGUUAGCGAAGAACGAGCAAAAUACUAUGGAAGCAUUACUAUCAAAAGCGAAUAGGAAUGCAAACAUGGAGGAAAAGUUGGGAACAAUUGAAAGAAAAAGGAAAAUAUCCCAAGUUGAUCAUGUGUAAGAAUGAGGGUCAACACCUAAGAAAAAAAAUGAGGUUAUAACCAAAAGCCUUCGAUGAAGUAUGCAACCAAAGGAACACCUCGUGUAGAGUUUACCAUCCUUCUAAGAGAGCUUAUGAUCAAGUUGCAAGACAACCCCAACUUUCAAUGGCCACUAGAACUAUUUCGACCCUCUUAAUCCUAGGACAAAUUUUGAAUUGCCAUUAUCACCGCAUCUACAGGCAUCGAACUAAUCAGUGUAAGGCGUUAAGAAGGCAUCUUGAAAAUUUGGUCUGAUAAGGAAAAUUACACCAAUAUGUAAAGAAAAGCUUUGUUUAGCCUAACUUAAUUGUUGUUGGCAAACCAAAUGAUCUCGUGGAAAUGCCAAAAACUGAAAUUAACCCUCCACCAAUUAUACAGGUUGUUGAUGACUAUUCAAUUGAUCAAACUCCACGUCGAAUGCAUUGACAACGCCUUAAAUGACUUAUGAAGCAUCGAGAACUAGCACAACCCUUCACAUGUAUCCAAAUGAUAGUGUGUAAGAAUGUGCACACCUACAAUUGAAUUCACAACGAAAGACUUCAGCCACGUAUUCCUCCCCUAUGAUGACCCUCUUGUAGUCACAUUAUAGAUUGGGUCAUACCAGGUAUGACGAAUCCUUAUGGACAUGGAAAGCUCAUCUAAUAUCCUAUUCCACAUAUGCUACCUGCUAAUGGAUCGUGAACAUGAGAAGUUGCAACCAAUUCAAACUUUACUAGUUGGAUUUAAUAGGAAAGUCACCUAUGCUACUAAAUAGUUGGUCCUAGAGGUCGUGCCCAGAACUGCAUUGGUAAACACCCUUUUUCUAGUUGAAAACUCUAUUUCUUCAUACAAUGUUAUACUGGGGAGACCAUGGAUACAUGUGAUGGUAAUAGUUACCUCUACCUAUCAUUAGAUCAAAAUAGCUACAACCGACGGAGUAGUCGAAAUUUUCGGGGAAUAACUCACCACGCUUCACUGCCAUUUGGCAAUUAUGAGCACAGAACCUAGCUGUAAUAGCUUGACUACAGAGCCAGAUCGAGCUCUUUUACCUCUCGAAUAACAAUAAAAGAAAUACCUUCUGCCAGAUCCUAGAAAUGAACUAUCUUGGUACGUAGGAGGUGAUAGAACCCACAAAAAAGGUAGUCAUCGGGCCCCGAAGUAAUUAGGUAGUGCACUUAAGCAAGAUAAUCUCGACUACUUUUCAAGAUGAGUUGGAAGUUUGCUUGUAGACCCAUGUGGAUAUAUUUACUUGGGAACCACUUGACAUGACCAAUAUAGGUGCUAAACUAUUCAAUUACUAGCUGAAUUGUUGAUCCUCAUUACUCACUAGUGUAGCAAAAACAACGUCGACUUGUGUCAUUUAAAAAUCAAAUUGCAUGUGAAGAAUUGGAAAAGUUGUUGGUUGUAGGGUUCAUAUGUGAAGUUUGCUAUCCGACUUAGUUAGCUAAUGUUGUGAUAGUCUAAAAAAAGAGCGGGAAAUGGAGAAUGUGUGUGGACUACACCGAUUUUAAUAAGAUCCACUCAAAAGACAACUACCAAUUACCACGCAUAGAUCAAUUAGUGGAUUCUAUUGUGGGGCAUGAAGUCUUAUCCUUCUUAGAUGUGUACAACGGGUAUAACCAAAUCUUCAUACACCGAGCAGUUGUUGAAAAAACGACAUUCAUCACCGAACAAGGAACAUAUUGCUAUAAAGUGAUGCCCUUUAGGUUAAAGAACGCUAUAGCCACUUUUCAACGUUUGGUGACCUGAGUAUUCGAGAACUUGAUUAGGAAUCAAGUUGAGGUCUACGUCGACAAUUUGGUGGAAAAAAAUGAAGGAGCGAGUCAGCAUCCACAAAACUUAUUUGAAGUAUUUUUUGUGCUGCGACAUUUUAAUAUAAAUUAAGUUCAAUCCGACAAAGUGUGCCUUCAGCAUAACUAGUGGGCAGUUAUUGGGACAUUUAGGUGGUGUUUGUUUUUUUACUUAAUUUUAAAUAGAACCUUAAUGUUUAAUAAUAUUAAAUAUUGGGUUGUUUGUUUUUAUAGUAUUUAUUUUUUAUUAAGUAUUAAAAAGUAAAAAAAAAAAAACUAAUAUGUUAUUUUUUCUAUUUAGAAAAAACUAUAUAUUUUGACUUUUUCUAUUUAGUAAAAAGUUUAUAAUAAGUCAGAAAAAAGUAGAAAAAAAAACAACCUAAAUUCUUAAAACAAAUUGCUUUCAGUAAAAAGCCAAAAAAACAAACACCACCUUAGUCACUUGUAGAGGAAUUGAAGCCAACCCUAAGCAAAUUAAAGCUAUUUGUGAUAUGAAAAUCCUGACCUCAUAGAACCUCCUAUGCUAGAACCAAUAUUCUAAUACUUACCCUCCAAAGAGAUUGGCUUCAAUAGAGGUUGCUCCUACUUCAUGUUUAGACAAUCAGCUAUAGGAAGUAGAGGCAGUAGAGAAAAACGCUUCUCCAAUGGAGCGUCCUCAGACUUAAUAAAAGAGAGACAAGGUGUCUAAGAAAUUAACCCCAUAGAGACAAAAGUAGCAUAUAAAUGGGCAGGUUUCAACAAUAUCUUUUGGUCACAAAGACCAGCAUUGAUCCCGAACCAAUUAUUGAUCUCAUCACGUUGAGAUUCAUCAAUUUCUAGUGUUUUAGUAACCUCCAUUUCUACACACCACACAACCCUCACGUCAUCGCAAUAAUAAUAAUAAUAAUAAUAAUAAUAAAUCGAAAUACAAACAGAGCAAACCUGAAACACUGUGAACCCUUGGAACAUGAGGAAGACAUUGGGGCUAAUAAGCCCAAAAUUUCCAAUUUUUGAACACUGCAAAGAUACCCUUAUCUAAAUCUUUAUUCGUUGAGGGUGCACCAAUGAUGAAACCACUCAUGGCUAGCUGUGGAAAAAGGUACCACUCGUGGGGAAUGCGAGACCUCUUCACAUUGUAAAUAUGUAAAACAUCCGUAGUCAAAAUACCUAAGCCUUUCAUAUGAUCCAAAAUUACUAAUGACAUAAUCAACCUCACAGUAUUAAUACAUAACUGAUUUGGAGACAAGUGGAGAUGACACACUAUGUGUCUCAACAAAGGAUGAAGGAGUAGUCUUAACCCAACCUCAAAAUAGCUCUUAAGCAAAAGCAACUCAUCGACAGGAGGGCUACCGACGGUAAAGUCAACUUCACCAUCUUCUAAAAAAUGAAUACCGACUGACAACAAUAUAUUGAACUCAACCCGAAAUUCUUCUGGUGACCCAAUGACCUUUAUUUUUUUCCCAUCUUCAACAUGGUCGCGAAGAGAAUAAUAUAAAGAACAACGAAAACAUUAAAUGAAGAAAAACAUAGAAGUAAAUGGUCAUACUUACCUUCAAGAAAAGAACAGAGAGAAAAAAAGUCACUAGAAGGCGACGCUAUAAUUGAAACCCACUCACAAAGAAGAAUAAUUCUCAUUGGGGACGCUGCAGCAAGUGACACAUGGCGGGACCCUCAUCCUCGGACGUGGGAAGAGGGUUUACAGUAACCAAAUCAUACCUACACAUUUUUUUCCUAUGAUUGUGGUAAUUCUUAUGAGUGACAUUGGAUAUAUCAAUAAUAUAUAAGAUAAUUUAAAAUUAGUUAUUAUUAUUAUUAAACCAAACCGAAUUGAUUAGUUUCCUCUUAAGAUUCAAUUAAUUUGGUUCUUGAUAUAGGUUUUGUAGGGACCCCUCCUCCUGAGAACACGUGCCACACACCUCAUAGUGACACGUAGCACGCAUACCAUCUGGAUCAUCCCAUCCGGAUACACAUGACGCGCCCUCAUAUCCGGCCUGCUUCAAGGAAGUUCAAACGACACUUAUAAACAUAGACAUCCGGACGACUUUCACAAUACAUACGAAUGACCAACAUAGGUCAUCCAGAUAUGAUUGUCCGGGUCAUUGACUGGAGUAAGCAAGUCUUACACGCUAUCACAACAGCCUGCCAUGGCCCACGUUCCGCCACCUGCAGAGUGAAGGGACAAGAUGAAGUGACAACAAGUCACUUCCCACGAUCAUUUCACAUGAUCACCUACCACGAUCUCUGACAGCCGCAUCACUUACCACGAUCUCUGUCAAACCGUCCAUAGGGUGAUGAUGGCCCUGCCACCACCUAGUGUCAUCAUGACAACACAAAAUAUCUCCCCACCAUUAAAGAGGGGAACAAAGCUUCUGAAGCUAUAUAUACAAACCUUCACACAAAAGGGAAGGUAAGCUUGCUAUACCUAGUAAAAAGCCAACUGGUUAUCUCUCUCUAACCAUGGCUGACAAAACCAUUGGAGGGUGCGCCCGGACACCCUGUCCGGACGUCUUUUGCAGGUAAACCGACUGAAUCAAGAACCUGUAUUGGUUGAGAACCGCGCAUCCAUCCAUUUGGCAACUACGUGGAUUGUCAGGGACGCGAGGCCUCAACAGGUUUGAUUUUAAUACUCAAAACGGAACGGAUCCAACCCUAACUAAAAAGUAGGCAAAUAUGAAUUCAAAUAUGGUGGUGGGGCAACCUUGGUAUAAUGUAACUGAAUUAGAUAUAUGUAUCAAAAUCAUUGUUAAGGAAUAUAACACUAAGUAACAGUAUAAUUCUAUGUAAAUAAGAGUUCUAUGUAGGGUGGGGAAAUGCCAAAGUAUAGGGGUGCAAAAUCCAACCAGAUGAGGCUAGCCUCGGGCCGAGAAGACAUGGCCAACAAUAGGAAUGUGAAUCUAAAACUUCAUCUUAAUGGGAUUGCAUUCGAUUCAACAAAUGUAAACUGCUUUUGAAACCUCUGUGUCAAUAGAAAGAAAACAAUGAAAAUUUUGAACAAGGAUUCUGUGACUUAGAAGGAUUGAGGCUCCCAUACAUUUCCUAUAUGGUACAAUAUAUUCAUGCAAUCUUCUUACAAUCUUUAGAUUGCAGGAAUUGAAGGAUAUAAAAGGAGUAGGACAUUUGGAGCAAUGUCAAAAUUCAAUGCAUCAAAAUUGAUGCCUUAAAGCUAUGAAUUAGCUUAGGAUAGGAGUUGUAAACCAUAGAACUUUGAUGAAAAUUAAAUUUCUAUGAACCAAAUGUUUUUAUUAUUGACCUCGAACCAACCACCCACAUUGUUUUUUCUACUCAUACUUGUGUAAAUGGGUCAGCAUGAAUAUGUAAUGCACUUGAACCGGAGGUUCAUGAGAGAUCUAAAAAGCUUGUUUAAUUUCUUCGAGGAGGUGGUCCCAUUUAUACUCUCAUAUAUAAUGAAAUAUAUAAAGUGUGUCCUACAAUUAGCACACCACCAUAAGAAAUAUGUUAUUCAUUAAAGAGUAUGAAACCAUCCUCAACUAUUAUAAAAUAUGCACUAUAUUAGCCAUAGGCAUAGUCACUCAUAUAAAAAUAAUUAAUAGUACACUACAUAGUCAACAAGUGACCUACAUAAACCUAUUUCUUGGGAUCUUAGUUCAUGUAGGUUGGAUUUGUUAGGAUAGAGUCUUAGAAAACAUGACAUAACAUAUUAAAAUUUAUUAAUAAAUUUAUUUAUUUAUAUUUCUGGUUCCCUUUAUUAUUUCGUAUGCAUUAAUUAGUUAUAUGAGUAUACAUGCUCAUAACACUCACAUUAUGCAUGACUUUGGUGCAUUAAGAGUUAUAUAAAAGAUACAAGUCAUGAGUUAUUUACAAAAUGAUAAAUUGUUCAUCAUUGGUUCAUGAAUCUGAAUAAUCCAAUAGAGACUAUAGUGCACCAUAUCUUAAAUUGAGGGAUGGUUUGUCUCGAUGAUCGGGAUAAAGUUCCCAUGAUGAAUACACUUAUAUAUAUAGUUAUACAUUAACAAGAUCUACGAUAAAUCAUAACAUAAGAUUAUCAAUUGUCAUGAUUCAUUAAGUUAUUAUAUUGUAUAGGUUCUUACUACUUUGAACGUCAUAUGAUUAUAUAUCCCCACAUAUUAGGUCACUUUGUAAACGCUAAUGGUUUCCCUCUCGUGUUUCAUAUUGUUUUUAUACCUUUUUUCAAGACGCAAGUAAGGUCUCAAUAAGAUACCUACCAACAAAAGGCUUAGAUAGCUCAAUGUUCUUAUUCUAUAAGCCACUAACUAAAGCAUGAUAAGUAUAGAUUUGAGAUAACACAUCUCCAUCCUUAAUCCUUUGAAAUUUUCUAACAUCCUCUAUGACACAUUUUCCGAUUCUAGCAUCCUAUAGGAUAAUAUUAAUUACUUGAAAAUCAAAAAGGAUUUUUUUCACUUGAGAUGAUCGUUGUCUUUCUUAAGACUAUCUGAUAAAAGCAAAUAAGGAGAGAGGAGAAUUUACCUCCAAGGUAUAAUAAUCAGACUACAAAAAUUCAAAUGUAGUCUCAAUAUUGAAAAUAAUACAUAUCAAGUAUUACCAAAAAAAUAGAAUUCCUCAAUCUCUAUUUAACAAUUGGUUUAAAAACUAAAAAACAAAGAAAAGGAGGGGGGCGGUUAAUAAAUGAGCUCUAUCAUGUCUUUUUUCCUACUUUGUUUCCAAAAUCCAAAUCCACCUAGCCAAACGCACCUCUACAAAUCCUAAUUCUGCUUGCAAUGUUUAUUUCUUCGGAAAUAAAAAGGGAAGUAACUAAAGACUUUAAAAAAGACUCAAACUGACUAUUUACGGUCCAAAAAACCGCCAAAGAAUGAGUUGCAACAGGUAUGGCACUUCACACCUCUCGCCACCUUUUCCCGAUCAGACUCUUCUUCAAUUCUCUGUCAAAAUCUCCAUUCAAAACCUUACCCAUAUCUCCAUUUUCAUCGUACCAAGUAACACCCACCAAGAAGAAAACAUUUUCUCAUAUUUCCCAAGAAUGCUCGGAUGAUCUUAACUGGGUUUAAACCGACGAUCUUUGUUACGAAUUGUUUGAUCCAAAUGUACGAUAAAUGUUCCGAUUUGGAAUUUGCUUGCAAGGUGUGUGAUGGAAUGCCUCAACGGGACAUGGUUUCUUGGAACGCAAUGCUUUUUGGUUAUGUUGGGCUUGGAGAUAUAGGAGUCAUGCAAAAUUUGUUUGACGCAAUGCUUGAACGGGAUGUGGUGUCGUGGAACUUUUUGAUUUCAGGGUACUUGCACAAUGGUGAUAGAUGUUUUUUUACAAAUGGGGAGAAUGGGUACAGUGCUUGGUCGUACUACUUUUGCUCUUGUGCUGAAGUCUUGUUCCUCUUUGGAAGACCAUGGUGGGAGGAUCCAAAUUAAUGGACUUGUAGUUAAAAUGGGUUUUGAUUGUGAUGUGGUUACUAUUGGUGACGGAUUUCCACCACGGCCACUGUUUCUACCAAAAAUGGAGAUCGAACCAACUGGGAAAAGGCUCUUUCCUUUCUCCUGCAAAAAGAUGCCCGGACCAACUGUCCGGACACACCCUCCAAAGUUUAAGUUAGUUUUUUUUCUCAAUUGACUGAAAGUAAUACCCUUUUGAGAGAGUCUCCUCACCGAUCCCCCAUUUUCUUUCUUUUUCUCCUCCCUGUUUUUAUAUGAAGCAGAGGGAGAGUCAUGGUUGGGCUAAUGGGCCCCAUGAUGGUCAUGAUUGCGGCUUAUAGGGUGGCGGAGUGAUCAUGACACUUUUGAGGUAAUUUGGUGGCUGUCAGAGAAGCGCUCAGACGACGCUACUGUUGUCUCAAGUCUUAAUCAUCAUCAUGUGGGAUACGACAGGUGGCGUGAGAGGCUUGGAAACUGUCCCAUCAAUCGCAUCUUGAGUUAAGAAUGGCAUGAUGACUAUUGAGGGACUGAGUCAAAGGUGCUGCUCGAGCUGCUGUUCUGAUUCUGGGCGAUCAUGGUUCCCGAUUGGCUAGCAGAUCCUUCCGAGUAGGAUAUAUCCGGAGAAGUUGAAUCGACAGUUUUCCGGACUACAUGAGCCGGACAUCGUGGUUCCAGAUGAAGAGCGCCCGGGGGAAGACCAACCAUCAUCCGGAUAGAAAUGUGCUUAGUGCCAUAAUGCGAUGGUGACACGUGUUAGACGGGGAUGCAUCCACGUGGGCGAAUGGGGAAAGGCCACGUGGCGAUUCCGGGAGGGAUACCACAAUUGCGCCUUUUAUACCGCUGAUGAUGUCUGUACAAAAAAGGCGGGAUAAAAAUGUUGUCUUUUCAAAGGUUUCCUUCUCCCUACAUAACGUAACGACACGUGUCACUUCCCCCAAAAAGGGUAUUCAUGAUGAGCUCCACCCUCGAAAUUUAUGCCAAUGGCGUGUCGUUUUGGAACUUGGCACGAUUAGGAUCCUUUUCGUUUGGGGUUCCUAGGGAUUUCAUCCCUAUAAAUAGUGGCUUAACUCCUCCCAAGAACAUUUUUGCUUCGUUACUGGCUUUGUGGAAUUUCUUGGCCCUUUCACACAACAGAAGCUUAACUCACGGUGCCUGCAUUUUAACUGAUUUUCGCUAUCUUCUGAAAGGUAUGUCUUUCCGCCUUUGUCUCUCUUUCCGCCCACUGUUUGUAGCAAUGCCUGCUUGUGGUUGGGGAAUGAACAGUUGGGGCGAGAAUAAACAGUGAUGGUUGUUUCUGCGAGAGUGGGAAAUGUGGGGUGAAAGUCCCACUAGGGUUGGGCUGCGUUAGGCAUUGAUAGAACAUAUUGGGGGUGCUCUAGUGCUUUUUGGGAUAUUAUUCCCCUCCCAGAUGCAUCGAAAGGGUGGCUUUGGGUUUGUAAGGCGUGGGGAAUAGGUUUUUUACUAGGGUUAGACUUUGGAUACAUGAAGUCGAGGCUUGUGGUUCAGGAUGUACCUAUGAUGGAUGUGUCCUCGUUGAAGUGUUUUGAGUUUUGUUUGAGCGAUCGCAUUCUAAAGGGAAUCAUUAUAUUAUGCAGGUAUUAUUCAAUCGAAGAUGCCUCCAAAGAGAGAUAUUGUGGCUUCGGGAGUGUCCACUCAGGGCGGAGCAAUCGUUCGGGCAGAUCAGAGUCCGGCUCGUCCUUUUCUGAAUAAGCCUACUAAACUUUUGAAUGAACACAAGUUUUGAGAGCGCUUUCAAAUCCCUAACGGUGUAUUCAUCCGGCUUGUGGAAGGUGGUCCUGUUUCUACUGAGAAUGAUGGGGACCACACCAUCUGCUUUACUAAGGAACAGUUCAACGCGGGGCUCCGUCUUCCUCUUCCCUCUCUUUUCAAGUAGUUUCUUCACUACACGAGAAUUCUUCCUUCUUACCUUCAUCCCAAUGUGAUUCGGGUGCUGAUGGGGUGUAGCGUUCUAGAUAUGUUGUUUCACUUGGAUCUCUCAUUGCUAGAGGUUCUUUUUGUAUAUUCCAUAAAGAAAGGGAAGAAUGAUAUUUUCAGAUUGGCUACCAGCAUCCCAUCCCUUCGACUGUUGAUCGAACUUCCGGAUUCAAUAAAAGGGGCUACAAGAGGGCAUGUGUUGGUCAAGGGUCCAUGGGCAGGACUGAUGGUGCAUCUGGAGAAGGAAUUUUCGCUAGUUUGCUCGUUGAGGAUCCUAGGUGAGAACAACUUUUUGAAUAUCUUGCUUCAAACUGUCAUGCCAAAACCAGUUAAUUAAUCGAGGUUGUUGAGGUAGUGCGUUUUGUUGAUGCAGGCGCGGACAGGAGGGGUCGCCUGGUUGAAUGGGUGGAAAAAGCCUUAUUCCUCCGCCUGAACAAGUUGUUCGAGAUUGCGCCAAGUGAGAGGAAUUACCAGACAUUGCUUUCCAUCCGAAAUUUGGCGACAUUGGCUCAGGACUCCCAACCAUAUAUUCCCAAUAUCAUCCCCAGGCGGUUGCCCAAAAAUGUGGUAGCUGGGGAGCAUUUUGUGCUUAAAGACCUCCCAUUUUAUGUGGAGGCACGUGAGGUGGACGCCCAAGCUCGCCAAGAGCGCCUCAGCCACAGGGAGGAGAGGAGGCAAGAGGGGACUCUAAGAAGGGCCCCUAGUGAGAAGUCCCCGGCGUUGCGCCAGUCGGCUCGUCCCCUAGCGGAGAAGAAGAAGAAGGUUGCUGCCAAGGGGAUUGUAAUCCGAUCUUUGGUUCUUUCGUCCUCUUCUGCCUCAAAUAGUGAGUCUAGCCUUCCGAGACGCAUGCUCGGCGCCAACGAGUCCGGGCCUUCCAUUCCUACGCACGAGCAUUUGGCACUUUCGGUUGGAGAAGAGUCGGAGGUGAAUCAACCCGUGUCGCCCUGCUCGGAACCAGAGGAUGAUCAGCUUGCGAUUGCUGACAAGCUGGUUGCGAAGGAGCUUGGGCCCUCUUCCAUAGAGCCAGUGCCCCCUAUGCUCAUUGUCAUAGAUGAGGCGGCCGCGGAGGGGAUGAAAUCACCUUGCCGCGAGCCGGACCAUCUUGCUAUUGUGGUGGUGGAUAAGCCCAUUGCGAGGAGGCCAGUUGCUCCACACGACUUACAAGCGGGCUUCAGCAAGAGGCUUCAAGGGCGCCUUCGUGAGGCUAUGGAAUCAAUUUGUUCCUCUGUCCACGGGGACCAGCUGGAGAGGAUUCGAAGAGAUGAUGGGUUUGGACCAAUGCCUUCUCCGAAUACCGCACAACCCGGAGGCCCUGUGCAUGAGGAAGGAGAAGCGAGUUCGGCUUUAAGGGAAGAUUCCGGACAUAGCACUCCAACGGGGGAAGACUCGGCUAAUGAAAUUGCCCGUAUCUCUGUCUGCCCCCCCCCCUCCCCCAACUCCCAACUCAUUGUAAGACAAGUUCUAAAGGAAUAUGAGGCUAAGGAUGAACGCAUGGCUAAGUAUUUGUUGAAAGUCCAAGAAUCGCUGAAUUAGCUUGUGAGAGUGGGCCAUUGAGAAAAUCCUGAGGAUAGAGAAUAAGCAAGCUGACGCCUUAUCCGGAGUAGCCGCAACGUUUCCUAUUAAAGAANNNNNNNNNNNNNNNNNNNNNNNNNNNNNNNNNNNNNNNNNNNNNNNNNNNNNNNNNNNNNNNNNNNNNNNNNNNNNNNNNNNNNNNNNNNNNNNNNNNNCCCCCCCCCCCCCCCCCAGCUACGCGGAGAUGGAGGAAAUGCUGAGGCGAAUCCCUCAUUCCCUUGACGCUGACUUGCCCCCUACGAAGAUGUUUGCCCAUAUCUUUGUCUGCAGCUACGCGGAGAUGAAGGAAAUGCUGAGGCGAAUCCCUCAUUCCCUUGACGCUGACUUGCCCCCUACGAAGAUGUUUGAGACUGCAAAAAUGGUUCUUGUUUCAUUUUUUUACUAGUAUCUGUCAUUUUGACAUGUACUUAGUGUAGCAAAUGUUUCAACUCAUUAUUUACGCUUCUGAUCGCAGCUAGUGAACGGUAUCCGUGGCAUGGUUCAGCAGCGCGAACUUUUUUCAAAUUUGCUGAGAACUGCUGAUCACAUGAAGGCCUUUGUUUCCCACCGCAUGGGAGGGGAGGAACGGCUAUGCCUGAGAUUGGAGCAAUCUGAAGCUAAUUUAGCCGCUGCUGGAAGGUUGCCACGGAAAAUGCUAAGGCCCUAAAAAGGUUAAAAUGAGACAAUGAGGCCCUCCGGGUCGAAUUGAAAAGGGAAAAGACCCAGGAGGAGGUCUUAGGGGCUAGGCUCGGUAAUGUGGAGCACGAAAGGCCCGGCUGGAGGAGAGCGUGAAAAAUCUCCAAACCUGCCUGGCAAAUGAAAAGAAACAGAAGGAAGAUUUACAGCUACACCUUGUAGCCCAAAUGGAAGAACUGGAGGCUGGGUUAGCCGAACAGAGGAAGAAACUUGAGAUGGAAUAUCAGAAGUAGGUAGACGAGAUGUACUUCUUUGGCUAUCGUUGCUGCAUGAAGAACAAUGGUAUCAAGUGCGAUAUUCCUUCAAUUCCUCCUGGUGAAGAAGAUAAGAUACGCCGCGGCCCUCCUCGAUGAUCUUUUUAUCUUUGUAAAUUUUGUUGUAAACUCCUUCUGAGAACUUUUUCGGAUGACAUUUUUGUAACUAAAGCUCUUUAAAUAAAUAAAGUACAUUAUUCAUAUACUUUUUAUAUCUUUUCCUUUAUUUAUAAUAUUGCUUCAAAUGGGCUAUGUUCCAAGGACAGGGUAGAGGGGUUCCACUUAAUGUUUGCAAAUGAUAAGACCCAUUUUCAUUCCUUUUUGAAACCACAUAGGGCCCUUCCCAAUUGGCUUGGAGUUUUCCGGCUCCUUUCUCGAUAGUGUUCUCAAAAAAUUUUCUUAGAACCAGCAUGCCUUCUUUGAGAAAGCGGGAACACACCUUUUUGUUAUAGUAUGCCGCUGCUUUCUACUGAUAGGUUGCCAUUCGGACGGACGCUAUCUCCCUUGUAUCAUCUGCCUAGUCUAAGUGCCUCGCGAGCUCCUAGCUUUCCUUUCUUUGCCCCUGAACGGCAGUCCAGGCCGUGGGCAUGUCAAUUUCUGUUAGUAUGAUUGCGUCUACGCCGUAGGCCAGGGCGAAUGGGGUGUUCCCUAUCGGUCGUCCGGGCGUGGUUCAAUAGGCCCACAAGACGUCGGGCAAUUCUUCUAUCCACCUUCCUUUGGCCUUCUCCAAUCGUUUUUUCAAUGCAGAUAGUAGGGUUUUGUUGGUUGCUUCUGUUUGUCCGUUGCUUUGUGGGUAUCGCGGCGUGGAAUAUAGAUUUUUGAUACUAAGCUCCAAGCAGAAAGACUUGAAGAGGGCACUAUCAAAUUGUGGGCCGUUAUCGGCUACAAUUACUUGGGGGAUUCCGAAUCGGCACACAAUGUUUUCCCAUACAAACUUUGAGACAUCCUUGUCUUUGAUGCUCGCAUAAGCUUUAGCUUCCACCCACUUACUGAAAUAGUCUGUGGCCACCAGCAAAAACUUCUUUUGAGCGGCCGCGGUGGGUAAUGGGCCUACAAUAUCCAUCCCCCACUGCGCGAAUGGCCAGGGACUCAUCACCGAGUUCAGUGUCUCAACGGGCAUGUGUGGAAUGGGUGCGUACCUUUGGCACUUGUCGCAUUUUCUGGCGUAAGCUUCUAUAUCUUACUUCAUAGUGGGCCAAUAAUAUCCUUGCGAGUGUGCUCUGUGUGCUAGAGUCCGGCCGCCUGAAUGGUUGCCACAAACGCCCUCGUGUAACUCGGAUAGCACGUAUUGGAUCUUCGGUUGCGUCAGGCAUCUGAGGUACGGGCCUCCGAAGGAUCGCCUAUAGAGGUCAUUUCCCAUUAGAGUGAAGCAGGCAGAUUGCACACGGAUUUUGUGGGCGUGCUUAGGGUCUUUAGGUAAUGUUCCUGCCCGGAGAUAGGCCUUUAUGUCGACUGUCCAGUUUUGAUCCUCAUUAUCAAUGCUGCAAACAUGAGAUUCAGCGAUGGAAGGGUUCGCUUGAAUAUAUAUAGGUAGCAGCAUUGAUUCUUUAAUAGGAAACGUUGCGGCUACUCCGGCUAAGGCGUCAGCUUGCAUGUUCUCUAUCCUCAGGAUUUUCUCAAUGGCCCACUCUCCUAGCUAAUUCAGCGAUUCUUGGACUUUCAACAAAUACUUAGCCAUGCGUUCAUCCUUAGCCUCAUAUUCCUUUAGAACUUGUCUUACAAUGAGUUGGGAGUUGCCGUGGAUUCUGACUUUGGAGGCCCAGAUGGUGGUAGCCAGGUUUAGACCGGACAUGAUGGCCUCAUAUUCCGUUUCGUUAUUUGACGCAUGAAAUCCCAGAUAGAUACACCGUUCCAACCGCUCCCCUAUUGGCGACUCAAGAAGGAGGCCGAUACCUGAUCCGGACUUUCGGGAAGCCCCAUCAACGUGCAAAAUCCACCAUCUAGCCUUACCGGAUUCCCUGUCUGGGGUAGAUGGUUGGGGCACUUCGGCGAUAAAAUCUAACAUGACUUGACCCUUCAUGGACAAUCUUGGUUGAUAAUCAAUCCCGUACUCACUUAGCUCUAUUGCCCAUUGAAGCAUUCUACCUGAUAUGUCUGAUUUAUGUAGGACGUUUCUGAGCGAUUGGUUAGUAAGCACAAUGAUGAGAUGAGCUUGGAAAUAAGGUCGUAGCUUUCGAGCGACUAUACGUAGGGCUAAGACUGUUUGUUCCAUCCUUGAGUAUCUUGUUUCUACAUCAGCCAAUGCUUUACUGAUGAAGUAUACGGGUCUCUGCUCUUUGGGCGAUAAGGAAAGAAACAAAACCACACUAAUAGCCCAAUCAGUCACUGCCAAAUAUAAAUAUAAUCUUUCACCGAGCUGGGGGCUGCUUAGGAUGGGGGGCUGAGCGAGAUAUUGCUUGAUUUCCUUAAAAGCGUUUUGGCAGCCAUGUGUCCAUCCCGAUUUAUUGGCUUCCCUGAGCGCUAAGAAGAAAGGCCUUAGUCUGUCGGUAAAUCGAGCUAUAAAUCGGCCGAGUGCAACAAGCUUUUCAGUUAGGCGUUGCAACUCCUUUUUGCUUGUUGGCGCGGGUUUGUUCGUGACGGCCUUGAUUUGGUCUAGAUUGACUUCAAUUUCUCUUUGGGUAACCAUGAAUCCUAGGAAUUUCCCUGAGCUUACACCGAAGGCACAUUUGGCCGGGUUGAGUUUCAUGCCAUAUUGCCUCAACAAGUAAAAAAACCUUUUGCAAAUGCUGAGCAUGCUCGUUCCGAGUUUUGCUUUUGACCACCACAUCAUCAAUGUAUACUUCUAUAAUGUCACCAAUUAGUGGUUUAAAAAUCUUAGUCAUCAGCCUUUAGUAUGUGGCUCCGGCGUUCUUGAGUCCAAAUGACAUUACUUUGUAACAAUAGAGUCCUUGGGGAGUUACAAAAACGAUUUUUUCUUCAUCCUCAGGCGCCAUGGGGAUCUGAUGAUACCCGGAAAAAGUGUCCAAAAAGGAUAGCAUGCCAUGUCCGACGGUAGCAUCUACUAUCUGAUCAUUCCGUGGCAACGGGAAGCUAUCUUUGGGACAUGCGUCGUUCAAGUUGGUAUAGUCUACGCACACUCGCCAUUUUCCUUCCUUCUUGGGGACCACCACUACGUUUGCUAGCCAUUUCGAGUAUUCAACCUCUCUUAUGAACCCGGCUUCUAAUAACUUCUCCACCUCGUCUUGAAUAACCUUUUGUCUGUCUGGGUGAAACCGCCAGACCUUUUGUCGAACGGGCCUUGAUGAGGUCAAGGUGUUAAGCCGAUACGAGGCUACUACUGGGUGUAUCCCUGUCAUUUCGGAGUGGGACCAAGCGAAGACAUCUCGAUUUUGUUGAAGUACAUUUUAAAGCUCCUGUUCUUCUUCUGAUCGUAAGAGGGAGCUAAUGUGUGUAACGCGCCCUUCCGUCUCUGAAAUUUGAACGGCUUUGAGGGGGUUCGCUGCCGGAGGAUCCUUGUCCACCGGGUUCUGUAAUUGCUAUUGGUCAGGCGGACUCGCUUCCUUGGGAGAUUGUUCGUGGUUGGUGUUGGGCCCGGUUUCUCGAGUGAUUUGGUAACAUUGUCGAGCAGCAAGUUGGCUCCCGUAGAAAUCAACCUGCCCAUUUUGAGUGAUGGAACUAACCACUUGAUGAUAUGUGGAUGGAAUGACCUUCAUGCUAUGCAGCCAAGUGCGCCCCAAGAUGGCAUUAAAGGGGGAUAAAUCUUCAACCACGGAAAAAAAUGACAUUCAGGAUGACGGGUCCAGCUUGAAUUGGUAAUAUAAUGUCACCGAGGGAAGUUGUGGAAGCUCCGUUGAAUCCGAAUAAUAUUCUUCCUGGGUUCUCCAAGAUGGAAGGUAUGAAUCCCAUCUGUUUGAUAACUGAUACUUGUAAAAGAUCUGCCGAACUACCCGGAUCGACUAGGAUCCUCUUCACAUCAAAAUCUCUAAUUCCCAGCGUUAAGAUGAGAGCAUCCUGAUGGGGCUACAACACUUGAGCGGGAUCUAUUGGAGGAAAAACGAUAGAUCCAUCUACCGGGUGGACGCUCCCACUGGCUAAUCCCGGUCGGAUGGAGCUUUUAUGCUCCCGGACAAUGGCUGCUCGCAGCAAUCUUUGUCUUUUCCUUCUAGAGUUGUAUUCUUCAUCGAGGGGUCCUCCGUGUAUGUAGUCGAUAACGGCUCUAACAAGAGCUGUAGGGGCCCGUGGGCCAUGAUCACGAGAGGAUUCCCCACUUUAAGCGGCAGCACGGACAUAAUGCUUUAAAUGUCCUUUUAGAAGAUCAUCCACUAAAAGAUGGUGACUUCGGCAUGCUUCUGUGGUGUGUUCAUGAUCCUUAUGGUACGCACAUUUUUUGCUGUGAUCUCUCUCCAUGGGAUUUGAUCUUAUUGGUCCAGGCCAUCUGAAGUCGGGCAACUCGCGAACCACAGGAAGCAGCUUCUCAUAUGUUAAGGUAAGAGGCGUGAGGGUAAUUGGCGGGCGUCACUCGACCUGUCCCCUGUUGGAUGGCCCUUGUUGACUCGAAGACUUGAAGUUCCUGAUGGUGUCGUUCCUUGCGGCCUGACCAGCGACUAGCACUUGCUGUGUGGUGGCUCGGACGUCGUCCUCCAGCAUGGAGUAUUUGUUUGCUCGUCGAAAUAGAUCAUCCAUGGUUGUGGGAGGUUUCUUAGCAAGAGACUCAAAGAAGGGGGUCCCUGGACAUAUGCUUAGUUUAAAAAUUUGUAGGACGACAUCCAUGCUGUAAGAUUCCACUUGCAAGAUAGCCUGUCCGAAUCAUUUCACAAAUUCCCUCAAGGUUUCAUUUUCUUGCAUCUUGAUAUUUUGUAGGGUGCUGAUAUUUUGUUUGUGUCUGGCUGAGCACAGGUACUGUCCCACGAAAACUUUGGACAGGUCCCUGAAGUUGUCAACCAAGUUCAUAGGAAGUCGAUGAAACCAUGAGAAGGCUUGGCCUUGGAGGUUGGCUGGGAAAACUUUGCACAGUAGCAUGUCAUUCCCUAUGUCAAGGGUCAUAAGCUGGCGAUAGUGCAUGAUGUGGUCGAAUGGAUCACUAGAUCCAUCAUAUGUAGAAAAUUUUGGAACGAUGAACCCUCGUGGGGGCUCAUAGUUAAUGAUGCGAGAACUGAAAGGCAUGGAGAGCAUGUCAUCUAGUCGCCUACUGAUGGAGCUUGGAGGUGCUGCGUUUAGGGGAUCUCUGCCGACCCUAAGCACCAGUUGGUGUGUGGCAUGCCCCUGUGAAAUAGGCGAAGCUGAGGGUCUAGGAUGUGACGCCGGUGUUGCGACGGUGUAGGGUCUAUUUUUGCUGGGAGCUUGAGGUCUUAAUCGUGCGCGCAUUGCGUUGGAUAUUUGAGGUCUCUUCUGACAUUGUCUUUUUUAUGAAACUCAAGUAGAGUCUGAACUUUCUUCCCGUUGUUCAUGACGAGUGGGCCUUGGCUCUUCUCUAGGCCAUUCCGCGUGUGCAUCAAGGGGAGGACUUGCAUCCCUGAGGUGCAUAGCUUCCUAGUUGAAGCGGGAAUUCCUUGGCUGCUGGCAACAUGGAGGUUCAGAGGAUACUUGGAUCCUCAAGACGUCAUUUUCUUCCCUGAGUCUUCUCGUUUCUUGAAGUAAGGCUUGCACCUGUCUUUCAUUUUCUCUCUGUUGUCUAUCCAUGUUAUCUCACCAUUCAAAGUAACCUUCUUCGCCUCUAGUAGAAGAACGACUUCUUGAAGGUGUGGACAUCCUUGCCAAAGGAAGGUUUAGGGGCUACUGAAAAUGCUCUUUCCCACAGACGACGCCAAUGUUGGUGACAGAUUUCCACCACGGCCACUGUUUCUACCGGAAAUGGAGAUUGAACCAUCUGGGAAAAGGCUCCUUCCUUUCUCCUGCAAAAAGAUGCUCGGACCAACCGUCCGGACACACCAUUCGAAGUUUAAGUUAGUAUUUUUUUCUCAAUUGACUGAAAGUAAUACCCUUUUGAGAGUCUCCUCACCGAUCCCCCAUUUUCUUUCUUUUUCUUCUCCCUGUUUUUAUAUGAAACAGAGGGGGAGUCAUGGAUGGGCUAAUGGGGCCCAUGAUGGUCAUGAUUGCGACUUAUAGGGUGGCGGAGUGAUCAUGACACUUUUGAGGCGAUUUGAUGGUUGUCAGAGAAGCGCUUAGACGGCGCUACUGUUGUCUCAAGUCUUAAUCAUCAUCACGUGGGAUACGACAAGUGGUGUGAGAGGCCUGGAAACUGUCCCAUCAAUCGCAUCUUGAGUUAAGAAUGGCAUGAUGACUAUUGAGGGACUGAGUCAGAGGUGCUGCUCAAGCUAUUGUUCUGAUUCCGGGCUAUCAUGGUUCCUGGUUGGCUAGCAGAUCCUUCCGAGUAGGAUAUAUCCGGAGAAGUUGAAUCGACGCCUUUCCGGACUACAUGAGCCAGACAUCGUGGUUUCGGAUGAAGAGCGCCCGGGGGAAGACCAACCAUCAUCCGGAUAGAAAUGUGCUUAGUGCCAUAAUGCGAUGGUGACACGUGUCAGACAGGGAUGCAUCCACGUGGGCGAAUGGGGAAAGGCCACGUGGCGAUUUCGGGAGGGAUACCACAGUUUCUGGAAGUGCUUUACUAGAUAUGUAUGCAAAAUGUAAGAAAUUAGAUUUUUCAAUUCAGUUUUUUCAUGGUAUGCUUGAAAAGAAUUGGGUUUCUAGGAGUGUCAUAAUUGCAGGUUGUGUUCAGAAUGAUGACCCCAGGGGUGGUUUAGAAUUGUUCAAGGAGAUGUAGAAAGCAGGGAUUGGGGUGAGCCAAUCUACUUUUGCUAGUGUGUUAUAUCUGCAUUAAGAUUAGGCUCCCUAAUUGCAUGGUCAUGCAUUAAAGACUGAUUUCGGGACUGAUGUCGUAGUAGGAAUUGCCACUCUGGAUAUGUACACGAAGUGUAACAAUUUGUCAGAAACUCAAAAGCUAUUUAAUUUUUUACCGAAUCAUAACUUGCAAUCUUAUAAUGCCAUUAUUGUUGGGUAUGCUCGAAGUGACAAAGGUAUGGAAGCUUUAGGGAUGUUUUGGCUUUUGUGAAAGUCAGGUCUUGGGUUAGAUGAAGUUAGUCUAUCUGGUGCUUUUAGGGCUUGUGCAGUCAUUAAAGGGGAUCUGGAGGGGCUUCAAGUACAUGGAUUAUCAAUGAAGAGUUUGUGUCAAUCAAAUAUGUGUAGCAAAUGCCAUCUUGGACAUGUAUGGUGAAUGUAGAGCUCUGGUUGAAGCUUGUCGUAUGUUUGAGGAAAUGGUCAGCAGAGAUGCUGUCUCUUGGAAUGCAAUCAUUGCAGCUCAUGAGCAGAAUGGAAAUGAAGAAAAAACACUUUCCCUAUUUGUUUGGAUGCUCCAAUCAGGGAUGAAACCUGAUGAGUUCACUUAUGGUAGUGUUUUAAAAGCUUGUGCAGGUUGACAAGCUCUGUACUGUGGCAUGGAGAUCCACAAUAGGAUUAUAAAAGGGAGAAUUACCCUUUAAGGGUAGACUAGGAAAAAAAAUUAUUGAAAAGGUUGAGUAGAUUUGAUAAUUCUUAUGAAGGCCCUACAUUUUUAUUAGACCAAUUUACCCUAAAUUUCUCAAAUCCAUUUACCAAUUGAAAAGUACAUCUUCUUUCCCAGCAAUUAUAAAGUAUAAGUACAAUACAAAUGCAAUAUAGUUACAAUGAAAAAAUAUUAACAUUACAAUAUACUAAAAUGAAAAAAAAUACUGAAUUCGUUUUUUACUGAACUAACAUUUUUAGGCUAUCAUGUUGUAUUCCUAUCAUAAAGCAUCCUUGCAAGCCAAAAUUAUAAAAAGACAACAAAAAUACACUAUUGUAAUUUCAAUACAUAAAGUUAUUGAUAGUAAUCCAAUGAUGUAUAAAAAAAAUCUAUAAAUUAAUUUUUUUUAUAUAAAAAAAUAUAAAUGUACAAUAAAAAUACACUACAAUUACAAUAUAAAUACAAUAACAUUACAAUACAUUACGAUAAGGUAAAAUUUUGAAAAUUUCAAAUUUCUUAUGAAACUGGGCAGUUGUGGGUUUUUUAAAAUAUAAAUAUAAAUAUACAAUAAAAAAUACACUACAAUUACAAUAUAAAUAUAAUAACAUUACGAUAAGGUAAAAUUUUGAAAAUUUCAAAUUUCUUAUGAAACUUGGCAGUUGUGGGUUUUUUGGCAUAUACAUGUCUCAUAUACAACAAAUAUUGUUCUUUAUUAUAUAGAAUAUGUCUCAAUUGAUUAUAAUUUUCAGUUUUCAAUGAAAAUCCAUGUUCAUAAAUACCCAAACAAAGUGGUUCCAAACAAGCAUAAAACAACUAAAUUUUUUUUUUCUUUUACCAUGUCAAACAAGUCUUAACAACAAAAUUAAAGUGCAAACUUUUUCAAUGGAAAUCAAUAAUAAUCAUAUCAAACAACCCACCCGGAAAAUAAAUUAAAAAUAAAAACACAUCUUCAAUAUGACCAAAAUAAUAUAAAAAAAUUUAAAUAACAUUUUACACAAAAAAAAAGUAAUUUCUUUCUCAAAACCUCCUUCAAUAUUUCAAAUCUAAUAUUUUAGAUCUACAUUGUUAAAAUUAAUAACAGUUUUUUCCUUCCAUCCAAAUUUUAAAUUAUUUAUUUAUUUAUUUAUUUACAUAAACGGACAUAUUUUUGUUUUUUUGGCAUUAAAAAAAAAACUCUUACCUUUAAUGGAUUUCUUGUUAGAUUCACACAAAAAUACAAGCUUUGUAGAGACGGUCCAUAUCAUAACCCAAAGUGCUAGAGUUUUUUCAUCUUUCCCUCUUUUCUUCUUCAAUACUAAUAAGUUGCAGCUGGUUAAAGAAGAAUUUUUUUUUUUUUUUUUUACUAUUGCUUUUCACUUAUUAAGGGUAGUAUUGACAUUUAAACAAAAUAAAGAUUAUCAUAAUUUCACCCUACCCUUCACCCUUGUCGUUCAUAUGUUUUCCUAACCUACCCUUAAGGUAAUUCUCCCAUUAUACAAUCCAGGACGAGAUUGGACAGUUUUGUGGGAAUUGCUCUUACUAAUAUGUCCAACAAGUGUGGAAUGAUGGAAAAGGCAUAGAAAGGUGAUGAAAAGUGUCGUGUUGGGAAUGUGUCUUUUGCUUUUAUUUAUUUAUUUUUAAAUAUUAGUCUAAUAUUCUGUAAAGAAAACUUUUGAAACGCUUUUUGUUUUUUAAUAUUAUUGUUAUUAUAAUAUUAUAAUGGUGGGUGUAAACAAGUGCAACUUUUGUUUUGAAUAUUAUUAUACUUUUUACUUUUAAAUAUUAUAUGGUGUGUUGAAACUAAUAUUUUCUUAAGAUAUUGAGCCGGAAAGGUUAUCAUGAAUUCAUUGGUCCGGAUUCAUGAUUGAAUCGUAGUUGAAUGGGUUACGCAAUAAGUAUAUAUUUUGUAUUUCAUUAAAAUUAAAAAUAAUUAUAAAAUAUUUAAAAUAUAUAAUUAAAUUUUAAUAUUAUUUAUUCAUUUUUAUGUGAGUGUAUUAAUGGUUUAAAUUUAUUAAACAAAUUUGUGGACUCGUAUUUUCACGUGCGUUCCUACUCGAUGGUGUGACUCGCUUUUUUAUUUGUUUAGUGAAAAAAUUGAUUUUUAGAAAUAGACUUGGAGUCGCCACUUAUUUUUAUUUUAUUCUUGAAGGGAAAAACAAAAUAAGAAAGAAAAACCCUAAAUGUGACUCCUUAAGGAAAAAAAAAAAAAAACAGGUCUGUAAAAAAUCGAGUCUGAGUUCGGGGAUCAAGUUACUUAUUGGAAAGGUACGGUGGUGAGACGUAACACCCCUCUAAGCCCAUAUAUAUUCAAUCUAUACUAAACUAAUUGAGGGGAUUAUAGCAAUUAACUAAUUAAACAUGGAUACCAAAAUUAAUAACAUAAAUCAAUAUGAACAAAAAAGUGAUAACAAAAUAAAAUGACAACAGAAUUAUGCAAAUUGAUUUAUUGAACUAAUUAAAAAAAUAUUUGAAAAAAAAUUAGUUUUGUGAAAAUUUCAAAGGAUUUUAUCAAAAACAAUUUUGAAUGGGUGAUUUCAAUUUAUUUAAUUACAAAACAUUUUCUUCAAGUGAUUUGAUUCGAUUUCAUUUGUAUUUAAUUUUCAAGAAAAGUUAUUUACACUUAUUGUAUCAAAAAGAAUUUAUUACAAAAUUUCAAUUUGGGCACAAAGAUUAUUUUUACUUGUUUUUACUAUAAAAUAAUGAUUUUUUACAAUUUUAUUUGCAAAAGUAUUUUGAUUCAUUUUCAUUUCUUUAAAAAAAAAAAAAAGUGAUUUUCACAAAUUAUUUAAAACGACAUAACUUUAUUUGCAAAAGAAAUUUUAAUUAAAAAGAAAAACAAAGAUUUAAAUCCUCUAUUUCUAAAAAAAACACCUUUAAUCCCAUUUUAAUUAAGGAAAAAGAAUUUAUUUUAAAAAUAUUUUUAGACAAUUUAAUUAAAAAUUUAUUUUUGGGAUAACUUUAUUUACAAAACAAUUUUUGAACAAUUUUUAUUAAACAAAGAAAAUUUUGGACAAUGUUAUUAAAAACAAUUUUUCGAAUUCUAUUAAAAAAAUUCUUUUGGAUUUUUCUAAAUGCAUUUUUGUGAAUUUUUAUAAAUAAUAAUAAAUAAAUAAAAUUUUCUUUUAUUAAAAAUAAUAUUUAAAAUUGUUGUUUUAUCAAAACACAUUUACUGAAUUCUUCCUCUCGUUUAAACAAAAUUUCUAUUUUGUUCGAUAUUCAAUUCUGUACACACUCAGUAAGUAUAUACAAACGAAUAUUUAUAAGAACUAAUAAAAAUAAAACCAAAUAAAAGUGGAAAAUAAAAUAUGUACCCAAAUAAACUUACACUAAGCUCCACGUGUCAUCAAUUCGUACUCAACCAAUAAGAUUGUAGAAUGGGCUCAUGCAAAAACAAAAAUAACACAAAUGUAAAUAUUCAAAGAUGUGCAAAAUCCCAAACAAAUAUUCAAACCCAAAUUCCGAUUUCAAAUUAGUCCCAUAAAUUUCGCCAAUUUAAAAUGAGCCCAAAUUACUAUAGGUCUUAACCCAGAACAUCCAAAUUAAUAACAAAAAAUACAAACAAAAUCAACAAAACCUAAAAUUGGAUAAAUUAAAAUAAAUGCUACUAUGUCUAAACUUAAAAUUCCAUAAUCUAAGUCUAAUUUAAUAUACACCACAAUUGUUUCAUGUCCAAAUUAAAUAAUUCAAAUUGGUCAAGCUCAUACCAAAUAUUCAAAUAAUCCAAUAAAUCUCACCCACAUUCUGGGCCCCAAAAUUCACAUCAAUUAACAAGCCCACAUAAAAAAUAUACAUGGUCAAGGGAAAUAAUAUUUCAAGCCCAAUCCAAUAAGCCUAAACAAAUAACAAAUUAACAAUAAACCCAAAUCCAAAUAAACAAUAUGCAAUUGAUGUAAUCCAAAUAUCCCAAGUUAAUCACUAAAUGUAACAUAAUCACAAAACCAAAUUAACAAAUUACAAAUUAAUCCAUCAACAAUAAAUUAACUCAAAUUUCAUAUUAAUUAACAAAGCCCAAACAUAAGCCCACAAACAAACAUAAAUACACAAACCUAAUUUCAAUAACAAUUACUAUCAAAAUCAAAUCAAGAAAAAAUUUAAAAAGUAAUAACAAUAAUAAUAAUAAUAAUGGGAAAUGGGUUUUACGGGAAAGUGAGGAAAUGAGAAAAUGAAAGAAAAUGGGAAGGGGUCACCGGCCGGUAGUGGGCUUGCUGGUGGCGGCUGACUGGUGAUCUACCGACAGUGGCAGUAUAGAGAGAAGACAGGGAGAAAAUAAAAUGCAAAUAGGGGGCCGGAAAGAUGAAGAGAUGAGUGGGGAGCUUGGCUGGUGGUGUUGGGGGGAGCAUAAAGAAGAAAAAAAAAAUGGGAGAAAGGAAUAAAAAAUGGGCCAGCGUGUGCUGUUGGGGAGGGGAAAAAAAUCAAAAAGAAAAUGGAAGGGAGUUUUGCUAGGAAGACGGCCAUCGGGUGUGUUUUUAGGAAGAGUUGGAAGAAAAAGAAAAAAAAAACAGAGGGAAAUGGGGCAGCCGUUUUAGGUCUCUUUGGCAGAGACCAAGGUUGGAGAAAAAAAUGGAAGGGAGGGGGAUUUUGAUAGGGGGCCCGCGAUGUGGGAAUAAGGGAAAAGUGGGGGGAAAAAAUGGGAGAAAAAUAUGGGGGGAAAAAAAAGAGGGGAGAUGAGGUGGUGGCCGGUGGUGAGGGGUAUGGGAGGAGAGAGAAUGAGUGGGUGAAAAAGAGAGGAGAGAGGAGAGAGGAGAGAGGAGAGAGGAGAGAGGAGAGAGGAGAGAGAAAAAAAUAAAAUAUAAUAUAAUAAAAAAUAAAUAAAAUAAUAAAAAAUGUUGUAUAACUGUGGACACCGCAUUUCGGCUCAUGCGUUUCCCACUCGAAGGCGAGCUUGAUUUUGAUUUCGAAAAAUGAUCUUUAUUGUUUAAGAAAAAUUGAAUUAGAGUCGCCACUUAUUUUUGUUUUAUUUUUAAAAAGGUAAACAAAAUAAGAAAGAAAACCCUAAGUGCGACUCCUUAUUUUGGAAAAGGUGAUCUAUGAAAAACCGGAUUGGGUUCGGGGAUCAGGUUACUUAUCGGGAAGGUACGGUGAAGACCAUAGCACCCCUCUAAGUCCCUAAAGUCGGGUCUCUACUAAUAAAAUGAAGCUGAUGUGGUAAUUGAUGAGUAAAUCAAUGAAUAUCCCGAAUGAUCAUGCACAUAUAAGAGUCGAGACAUGCAUAGACAACAAUUAGAGGAAAAAUGGGUACAUACCUGGACAACGAACCGCCAUGCGCUAUCAAUAGAGAGGGUUAGUACACCUUAUAGAGCACAAAACAUAUCACAUGCAUCACUAAGCAGGUAUUAAAAUUGUUCGAAGGAAAACUGGAUUUUUGAAAUUCAUUUGAGAAUCGGAAUCUUAGAGAUUAUUUGAAAAUUGGAUUCUUAGGAAUUAAAUGUAAGAAUGAGAACUUUUAGAAAUUAAAUUUGAAAGAAAAUUGGGAUUUUGAAGAAUUAUUUGAAAGUUCGGGAUUUUUAAGAAAAAUUAAGUUACGAAAAUUGGGAUUAUGGGAGUUAAAUUUCGAAAGGGAUCAGAAUCGUAAGUUAUUUGAGGCGUAGAAAUUAUGAAAGUUGAUUUAUGAAAAUCGGAAAUCUCAAAAAUCAUUUGAAGACGGACUUUUUAGAAAUGAACAAAUAAAAUGGUAAUAAAAAUAAUGAUGGUAACAAGUGAGUAACUGGGUAAAUACGGUAAUUGGAACAUUAAGAACUGAGAAUUAGGUUUGGAGAUUGGACACUUGGAAUUUUAGAUAGCUAAAUUUAGAAAUCGGAAUUUUGAAGAAUUAGACUUUAAUGAUUGAGAUUUUUAAGAGAAAUAAAUGGGUAAAUAUGGAAUAAUUUUAUUAAUUAAUCAAAACGAUAUUUGGACGGAUGAAUAGUGAAUAGUGGGAUUUUGAAAAUUAAGUUUGGCAGUCGGGUCUUUGAACAAGUGGACUCUAAUUAUUGGAAUUUUUAAAAGAAAGAAAUAAGCAAACGUGGAAUUUAUAACAAUGAUAACAAAGAUGAUAUUUGAAUGAAUAAAAGUGAAUGGUGGAAUUUUUUAGUCUCAAGGUUAAAUAUGAAAAUCCGGUUUUGAAGAAUUGAAUUUUAAUGAUUGAAAUAAAUAAAUAAAUAAACACGGAGUAAUAAUACUAAUUAAAAUAAAUAAUGUUUAAACGAAUAAUAAGAGAAUAGUGGAAUUUUUCUAAUUGAGAAUUUGAAUUAGGGCGUUGGAUUUUUAAAGGAUAUGACUUUGAAUAAAUAGGUAGGUAGGGGAUUAUAAUAUUAAUUAACGAGAAUAAUAUUUAGACGAAUAAAGAUGAAUAGUAGAAUUUUUGGGAUUGAAGUUUUAAUUAAGGCAAAGGGUUUUCGAAAGAUUGGACUUUGAAAAGACAUGGAAUAAUGAUUCUAAUUGAUGAGGAUAGAAUUUAGACGAAUUGUAGAAUUUUUAGGAUUGAAAAAUUAAAUUAAGACAUGAGAUUUUUGAAGAACUAGGUUUUAAAUAAAUAGAUGAAUAUGGGAUAAUAAUCCUGAUUGAUGAAAAUAAGAUUUAAACGAAUUAGUGAAAAAUUAAAUUAAGGCAGGGGAUUUUUUGAAGGAUUAGACUUUGAAUAACUAAAUAAACAUGGGAUAAUAAUUCUAAUUGAUGAAAAUAAGGUGUAAACGAAUUAUUGAAAAAUUAAGUUAAGACAUGGGAUUUUCGAAGGACUAGACUUUAAAUAAAUAGGUAAAUAGGGGAAGAUAAUUAUAAUGAAAAUAAGAUUUAAGCGAAUUGUAGAAUUUUUAGAAUUGAAAAAUUAAGUUAGGGGGGUUAGAUCUUCGAGGGAUUAUACUUUAAAUAAGUAAAUGAAUAUAGGAUAUUAAUUCAAAUUAAAGAAAAUAACAUUUAGACAAAUAGUAGAAUUUUAGGAUUGAAAAUUAAAUUAUGACAUUGGAUCUUUUUAAAGGAUUGGAUUUUGGGUAAAUAAACUAAUAUAGGAUGAUAAUACUAAUUAACGAAAAUAAUCAUUUAAAACGGGAUAAAAAGAAUAGUGGAAUUUUUAGGAGUUUGAAAAUUAAGUUAGGACAUCGGAUUUCUAAAGGGUUGGAUUUUAAAUUAGUAGAUAAAUAUGGGAUACUAACUCUAAUGGAUGAUAAUGAGAUUUGAACUAAUUAUUGAAGAAUUAAAUUAAGACACAUGAUUUCUUCGAAAGCUUUAGACUUUAAAUAGCUAGACAAUAUAUGGUAAUAACCCUUAAUUGAUGAAAAUGGGAUUUAAAUAGAUUAUUGAAAGAUUAGAUUAGGAUAUGGGAUUUUUCAAGGAUUAGAAUUUAACUUUGAUGACUGAGAUUUUUAAAAGAUGAUAAAUAGAUGCGUACGAGGUAAUAAUAAUGAUUAACAAUCAUAAUGUUUAAACUAGUGAAAUUGAAUAAUAUAAGCUUCAAGAUAAAAAAAAAUAAUUAACAAUAAUAAUUUUUCUUUUAAUUGUCUUUAAGACGAGUUAACUAAAUGGGUAAAAACAGGGUAACAAAUAAAAGGGAAUGAUUUGAUUAAUUAAUUAUGGAUAUUAGAGGUUUUGUUUUCUUUUAAAAAGGAUUAUUUAGGAAUUGGGCAGCCUGAUGGGCUAACUUGAAGUGGGCAUGGGCCACUUUGAUAAGGGAAAUUGGCAUAAGGCCUUCAUCAAUGUAAAUGGGCCUAGGCUCCAACUUAAGCCCAGGUCCAAUGACAUCAAUGGGCAAGACUCAAGGCUCCAUCUUCAGCAUAGGCUUGGGCCUGGGCUCCAAAUUCAGACCCAAGCCCAAAGCCAUCAUGGGCAAAAACCAAGCCCGUCACCAACACAAGCUCCUUCACAGCCCAAGGCCUCUCUUUCCAUCUGGGUAACUCUUUCAGGCGAAGCCUCCACCAGCAGCGGCGUAGAAGAGAGGGGCAGGGACGGCGGCGCCGGGACGGAGAGAGGAAAGCCGUGGCGGCGGUUGUGCUGAAGCUAGUGACUGCUCACACUUCUCUGGACAAAACUCGGUCUCAGAGUGGAGUAACUCGUGGUGAGGGAGCUUGAGGAGUCGCCGCUGCUGCAAGUGUUGUCGACGUCGGAGUUGGGAGGCAGCAGAGCGUUGGAGAUGGAGAUGGAGUCGAAGUCGUUGACCGCGGAGAGAGAGAGAUGAGAAGGAGGAGGCGGAGCUAUGGGAAGGAUGAAGGGAGGAGAAGCCCCAAUGCCGCCAUUGAUUCAGCCGACUGAGCGAGCUUGAGGACGUGGGUAUGAAAGGUGGCGGCCAUGCAUGGCUAUGCAUGGCUAUGCCUGGCCUUGCGAGAGUGAGGGGAAUGGGUGUAAUGGGCAUGGAAAAUGGGUUUGAAAGACAUGGGUAUCUUUAGUGGACCAGGUGGCAGGAAGAAUGGAUUUGUGACCAUUAGAAUAUGGUAAUGAAAUUAUGAGGGAUAAAUGGUGGGUGACAGGUAAGCGGAAUGGAGAGAUGAGUUAGAUAGACGGAUGAUGGGUAGGAUGGAGUAAGAGGUGACUAAUGAGGUGCGCCAAUAACAGGGUGCGGAGAGAGAUAAACCGGCUGAAGGGAUUCAAGAUGAUAGGUAUAUGAGAUAGAGAUGUUGUCAUGUGGUGGUCAUGAAAAAAAAUGGGUAUCUAUAUGGAUACGUGCAUGGAGAUAAUGGGAUUAGUAGCGGAUGCUCCCCGUCCCAUUCAGUGGCUGCAACCAUGACCAAAAUAGUUCUCACUGCCAUCACAAUAACAAAUGACACCAAGGAGAAGUUGCUGGUCUUUAUUCCUCGCCGGUCUUUCCAGGUUCCAGUAACAGAGGAACACAAAUGGCAGAGAAGGAGCCAAAACCCAAAAGAAAACAAAGGGAAUGAUAAUAAAAGGAGAAUAAAGCAAAAAUGAACUUGAGUGUAUCACGCCUCCUUUCAGGUGAUAUCCAUGAGCUGGUUCGGGUGAGGAAACCUCAAGCUAGCGUUACAAAAUACAUGAGAAAUAGAGUCCCAUUAACUCCAAGCCAAACCAUAAGGAUAACAGCAAGAUCGACAACAACAACUAGAAAAUGAUCCAAAAAAAAAAAAUCAACGAGAUUCAACAUAUAAUCCAACCCAACUGAUGAGCAAUGCAAAACAAACCAAAAUGAGAAAAGGUUGAGAAGAAUAUGAAUCAAAGUAAGCAAGAAAAUCGCCUCAAACUCACCUGCAGCUACUCCCUUCCUAUUCUCGCCUUCUUCCAGCUUCACUCUCAAGAUCCCCAUUUUUCUCUUCUUUUUUUUUCUCUUUGUGGCCGCAGGUGCUAUCUUCCCGGGCAAGCCAUUACCUCCCUUUGCUGUUCAUCACAUCAGCAGCAUGGCUUCUCUCCCAUCGUCAGCAUGGCCGGCCGGCCAUCACGUCUUGCUACACAUCCAAUUUGGCUUUCUCCAGCAGCAAAGGGCCCCCCACCCCCCCCCCUUAUCCUAGGUGUCGCCAGCUCCUCCAGGUGGCGAGGCAUCAUCCUUGUCUUUGCUCUCUUAAGGGGAUCUACAAUAACAUAUUGCACCACUUAUCCUAACUAAUGCUGGGUUAGGCAUACAAUAAGAUAUAUCCUCUCAUCUUUUCUUCAAUCUCAUUCUAUAUCUAGAAAACCAAACAUUACCAAAGAGUUUUUGUAUUUUGUAUAUUAAAUAGAAGUCACAAUUAUAUAUAUAUAUAUAUUUUUCUAAAUAAUAAAAGAAGUGUAUCCAAACAAGCAUGAUGUAGUAUAAUUUUGAAAAUGAAAUUGUUUAUGGGGUUAUAAUAUUUGGUGGUGUUUAUUUUUUUGACUUUUUGUUGAAAAUAAUUUGUUUUCAGAAUUUAGAUUGUUUGUUUUUUUACUUUUUCAUAACUUAUUAUAAACUUUUUACUAAAUAGAAAAAGUCAAAAUAUGUAAUUUUUUCUAAAUAGAAAAAAUAACAUAUUGAUUUUUUUUACUUUUUAAUACUUAAUAAAAAUAAAAUACUAAAAAAACAAACAAUCUAAUAUUUAACACUAUUAAACAUUAACAUUCUAUUUAGAAUUAAGUAAAAAAACAAACACCUAGAUUUCAUUAAUCCCGUAUAUUCAACAUAAGAUUGAAACAUUUUGUUGCAUGCUAAAAAGAGCUGAAUAUUUAUGAUGAUUAGCUGAUGACCCUUUGACCGGUUCUUCAGUAAGAAAGAAGAGAAUCGGGCCUCUCUUUAUGACACUUGGAAAUAUAAAAAUAGCGCACACACAGUGAAUCAGGGCAUGUAUCAUUUUGAUUCUUAUUCAUACUACUUCAUGGACUCUAAAUCUCUGUUAUAAGCGAUGUGAAGUGGUUCAUUUAGAUGCUGCUGCUGCAAGUUUGGCAUCACGAAGGGCCUGGAACUUGGCAAUCAUCUUGUCUCGAGGUGGCCAGUUGUCCUUGAUUAUUGGAGAAUCCGCAAAGUCUUUCAUCCACGUCGACAACAAUGGAAACUUGUCUUCACCCACAAUUUUCAGGCCAGCUACAUCUUCCAAUAUGCUGAUCAAGUUAGCAAGCCAACCCAAUGCAAGAUCAACAAACCCAAUCCUUUCUCCACCAAAGAACUUCUUUCCCCUGAGUUCUUCUUCCAAGAACUGGAGGUUCUCCAUGGCUUCAACCAUAGCUUCCUCCUGCUCUUUACCUUCCUUAACGAAGACACCCCAAAAAAUUGAUGUAAAAACCUGCAUCCAAAACAAAAUAAAUGAAUAUGGAUCAAUAUAUAUAUAUAUAUAUACAAGGCCUUUUCCAAUUCCGUUUCAACCAAGGAACAACCUUUAUCAUCACCAAAUUUGGCCCAGAAGCGGGCCAUGGCUUUCUCGUAAGGGUCUUCAGGCAACAAGGGAGUUUCCUUCCAUGUCUCAUCAAUGUAUUCAAGAAUGACAUACGAUUCAGCGAUCGGUUUUCCAUUGUGUACAAGAACUGGAACCUUUUUGUGGGUAGGAUUAUACUGGAGAAGUGAAGGGCUCUUGUUGGAGAGAUCUUCAAAUAUGGUUUCAUACUCUACGCCUUUGAUUUUGAGAGCCCAAACAAUCCUCAGAGCAAAAGGACUUGACCAUGUUCUGAAAAGUUUCACUUCUUCCGCCAUAAUGUUUUGAUAUCUGUAAAUGAAAUAGCAGCUGAGCCUUUAUGUAUGCAUUUAGGCUGUGAAAUUUACACAAUACGAGUUCUUUCAAAAUACAUCCAAGCAAAGUAGAAAUAUUCAAACAUCAUAGCUGACGUUUGGAAAAUGAAAGUAAUGUCGAAACAUUAGUGAUGACGCUGGGAAAAUGAAAAAGUAAUAAAAGCAAACCUCAAACAAAAGCCUUCUUCGCUAUGUUUUGAAGUCUUUGGACUGAUUAAUUAUUACUUUUAGUCACAUGGUGGACCACUUCGUAAGGAUGUGUGUCACGACUCAAAUUCUAGGCAGCCCAAAACUUAAUCCAUGACCUUAGGUCAAAGGUUUUUAGGCAACCCAGAACUUGACCCAUAACCCUAGGUCAAAGGUUUGAUUCCAAUGAUUUUUCUUAAUCCAAGCUGACAGUUAACCAAAGCACCGUGGAUUUUUUUAUUUUUUUUUCUAAAAAUAAUUCACCCCAAAACUUCCUCCAACUAAAGCUCAAUAUACAAACCAAUACUCAAUAACAACAAGAGAUAGUAUUAUAUUUUUAUUUUUUUUAUAUUUUUAUUAUUGAAAUGGCAGCCUAAAGGUGGACAGCGUUUUCCUCCUCUCAGCCGACUUCCCCCUUCUGUAACUUUUUCUCCUUUCUCCUUCUAUUUCUUUUUAAAACACCACAUCACAGUGCACGCAACUUUUAUAUAUAUAUAUAUAUAUAUAUAUAUAUAUAUAUAUAUAUAUAUAUAUAUAUAUAUAUUAUUUAUUUAGUUUUUCCCUCUUUUUUUUCAAUUCAAUUUAUUUUCUUUUCUUAAUUUUAUUUUUCAACUACAGUUUACAAAUAAAUUAUCAAACACUAACAUAAAUAUUUUUAAGUUUCUCUAAUUUAUUAAUAAUUAAUUUAAUUUAAUUUUUAAUUAAAUAAUUUUAAUUUUUUUUCGUUUAUGUUUUUAAUUUUUUUAAAAAUUUCAAUUUCUUUAUAGAUCUGCAUUUUUUACUUAUGUCCCCACUUGACGGCAAAAAAAGUCUAACUGUGAUUCCUGAAAAAAAAAAAAGGUCUGUGAAAAAUCAAAGUCUGAAUUUAGGGGUCAAGUUAUCCAUUGGGAAGGUACAAUAGUGAGUCGUAACAUUCCUUUAAGCUCGUACACAUAUGGUUUCUACUACCAAAUAUAGAAAAUUGUGAACAAAUCAAUAUACACAAAAAUGAUGAUAAAAUCUAAUUAUAACAAUGCACAAAAUAAAUGACAAGAGAAUUAUAAAAAAUGAUUUAUUGAACUAAUUAACAAAAAUUCAAAAAUAAGUUUUUCAAUGAAUUUCAAAGGAUUUUAUUAAAAACAUUUUUGAAUGAAUGAUUUUAAUUUAAUUUUUUACAAACAAAAAGUUUAAAUUUAUUUGCAACAAAUUAUUUGAUUGAAUUUCAUUUGUAUUCAAUUUUUAAGAAAAUUAUUUAUGUUUAUUGUUGCUAAAAGAAUUUAUUAAAAAUAAUUUCAUAAAAAAAAAAAAGAAUUUGAUUUUAUUUAUAAGAAAAUGAUUUUUAUUUAACUUUGCUUGGAAAUGAAUUGUUAGAAUUUUAUUUACAAAAACAUUUCAAUUUAAUUUAUAUUUAGAAGAAGAUACCUUUUAUAAAUUUAUCUAGCAAGGAUAUUUCAAUUAAACAAAGAAGACUUUUACAAUUUUAUUUACAAAAAACAUCAAAAUUCAAUCUAAUUUUAUUCAUACAAAAAGAGAUUAUUAAUAGGAAAAUGAAUUUUUACAAAAUUAUUACAAAAAUGUUUCAAUCCCCUUUUAUUUACCAAAAUUUGUUUGUUGUUUGAUUUUAUUAAAAAAAAAAUUAAAAUUGUUGAAAAAAAAUAUUAUCUUUGUUGGAAAAAAAAUGGGUUAUUCAAUUUUAUUAGGACUAAAAAUAAAUAAAUAAAUAAAUAAAAUUGUCCUUGAUUUUACAAAAAGGGACUUCAAUUUAAAGGUUUCUAAUUUAGAAAAAUAAAAAUAAAAUUUUAAAAAGGAUUACCUAAUUUUAUUAAAAUAAAUAAAUAAAUAAAUAAAAACAUGUUUUUCAAGUUCUAUUUAAAAGAACAAUACAAUUUGAUUUUUGAAAAAACAGAAACUUCAAAAUUUUAUAUUUGUUUAAAGAGAGAAUUUUACAUUUUCACAAUUUUAUUUAAAAGAAUUAAUUUUGCUUGGCUUUUACCAUAACAAAAAAUUUAAGAUUUUGUGUAAAAAAAGAAAAAAAAAAAAAAAAAAACUUUUCACAAUUUUGUUUACAAAGAAAGAAUCUUGGCUUCAAAAAAACAAAAGAGUUUUUUAUAAGUUUAUCCAAAAGGAUUUUUGUUUAAUACUUAGUAAUAAAGAAAAUAUUUUACAAAUUUAAUUGGAAAGAAGAAAAAAAAAAUUUCCCUUAAAUAAAAAAAAAAAAACAAGUUUAUCUAAAAAGAAUUUGGCUUAUCUCAUAUUUAUUAAAAAUGGUUUUGACAAUUUCAAAUUUAUUAAAAUCGUAAUAAAAAAUUAUAAAAUAAAAUAAAAAAUAUUUAUUUAUUUUUUUAAAAAUGAUUUAUUAAAAGAAGAUUUCAAUUUGUUAAAAAGAGAAAUUUCGUUUUACUAAAAGAGAUUUUUUUUCUUUAGUUUUAUUCUAAAAAAACUUCUUUUUUUCUCACUUUUAUUAAAAAUCAGUUUUUCAAUUUUUUAUUUUGAAGAUUUUUAUUUAUACAAGAAAUUUUUUUAAUAUAAUUUUAGGAAAUAGUCUUUAUUUAUUAAUAUAUAUAUAAAAAUACCUUAUCAAACAAAGAUUUUAGAUUAGUAAAAAAAUAUUUAUUUAAAAGAAUUAAAUUUUUAUUCCAAAAUGAAUGUCAAUGCAAAGAAAAAAGAAAAUUUUAAAAAUAAACUAAAAUAAAAUCUCAUUAUAGGAUUAUUCUAUUCGGAUAAAACACAAAUAAAUUACACUUUUCAUACAUUUUUCAUUAACAAAUAAAUAAAUUAACAAAUGCUAACCAAGCAUAUCAAAUAUGAAUAACAAAUAAAAUAAAUUCAUGAAUGAUAAAUUAAAUAGAUAUAUACAAUAAAAAUCUAAACAAGUCCAUUUACAUGUAAAUAGGAAGAAAAUUAAAAUAAAUAUAUACAAGAGGACAAGGAUGAAUGAUUAGCCUCAUAAGUGCAGUCCCAAUAAUAGUAAUGACCCUUAAAAAAUGAAGCUCAAAAAUAGGAAAAACUCUCGACCCUCUCACAAAUAGCAUAGAAAAUACAGAGAAGUUUUAGAAAAGUCCCAAGAGUUGUCCCUCUCUCCUCUUUUUUGCUCCAAUCUUCCUUUUUAAUCCCAAAAAUUCCAAUUCUUAGUCAGUCUAACCCAUGCCCUAUCUUCAACUACUUUAACUGCUCCCAAUAUACUAUUGUAGACCCCUUUUGAAGAGCCAAGGGGUAUUUUAGUUUUUUUAUAUCAUUAGAGGAGCUGGCAGCACCUCUCGGGUGUGGGGGGACCCCUCUCCAUGCGUGGGACCAGCUGCAAGAGACAGGGAAGCCAUGCUGCUGAUGUGAGGAACAAGGAAGAGAAGGCAUGAUGCUGAUGUGAUGAACAACAAAGGGAGAUAAUGGCUUGCCCGGGAAGAUAGCACCUGCUACCACAAGGAAAAAAGGAAGGAAACGAGGGGUUUUUUUUUCGGGGGAGAGACGACUAGUUACAGAGGAAGGGAGGACCAAUAGGGUAGAGAAUUCUUUUAUGCUGAUAAAGAUAGAGAUUGGCAAAGGGGGGACAUACCGUGAAAACGAGCAGAAAAAGGAGAUAACACAGGUAUGGAUUCUGAAAACCGGAUUCAUUCAUUUAUUUAUUUAUUUUUUUGUUUGUUUUUUAUGCCAUGUUAUGAUAGUUUCUAGGCAUGAGGAUUUUCAUUUUUGAUGUCUGAACAUGCAUAUUGUGGAUCCUUGUAAUUUUUUUUUUCUGGAAUCUAAGCUUACUUACACCCGCCAUAUUCAUUAUCUCUCUCUCUCUACCUUCAACCUCAUUCAUGCCUGCCUAACCAAACCCACUACUCAUUUCUCAUGCGGACGUGGGCACCAUGCAUGGGAAAUAAUUAACCCAUUCUCCAUGUGCUUCUAGGUCUUUCUCAUGCCCUACCCAUUGCACUUAGCAGACGUAUCCUCCUAGCCCCAUGCACAGGGGCACCUCUAUAUCCUUUCACCUUUCAUACCCAUCUCCUCAAGCUCGUUGCUCAUUCCUUCGCGUCUAUGGAGGACCUACCGAUCAUCUCUGAAACCCCAAUCUCAUAAUCAGACUCCGAUCCACGUCCGUGUGUCCCCAAGGUUCGUCGGAGCAUCUUGCUGCCCGCCGCGCUGAAUCAAAACCAAUUGAGCUUCUUAGAGCUCUGCAUGUCGCGGAAAGAGACUCUGUAGCCAUCGCCGAGUGCUCCACUUCUCUCUUCGCUUUGCUGCGUUUGGCUCUCUCUGAAGUUAUUGGCAGUCCUGUCGAUCAUAUGAGGUGCUUCAGUGAUGCUGCAGGCUGCCUCCAGGAAUCAGCGUUUGAUGCAGCUACAAAGGGUAGCCGAUGAGGAAGAUGGUCUUUUUUGAGCCCGCCCACGUUAGUAUUGGAUUUGGGCUUGGUUUGGAGCACCAAGCCUAAGCUUGUGAUGGAGUUGGAGUUAGAGGCUUGUCCAAGAUGAUGGAUAUGGGCCUGGUUGGAAGCCUAAGCCCAGUUGCAUUAAUGAAGGGCCUCAUGCCCCCUGUACUAUUCACUCUCAUGGCCCAUACCUAUUCCAGGAUAGCCCAUUUGGCCACUUCAUUCCUAAAUAAUCCUUUUUAAAAAAGAAAACAAAAUCUCUAAUAUCCAUAAUUAAUUAACCAAAUCAUUCCCUUUUAUUUAUUACCUUAUUUCUACCAAUUUAGUUAACUCAUACUUAAAGACAAAUUAUUAAUUAUGUUUUUAUCUUGAAAUUUAUACUACUCAACUUCACCGGCUUAAACGUUAUGAUUAUUAAUUAUUAUUAUUAUUCCGUAUGUAUCUAUUUAUCACAUUUUAAAAUCUCAUUCCUUAAAACCUAAUUCUAAUUCUUCAAAAUAUUUGUUUAAAUCAUAUUUUCAUAAAUCAAAUCAUUAUCCCGUAUUAUUAUUUAUUCAAAGUCAAAUCUAUCAAAAAAAUCACAUGUUUUAAAUUAAUUCCUCAAAUACUCUUUUAAAUCUCAUAUUUAUCAACUAGAAUUAUUAUCCUAUAUUCUCCUAUUUAUCUAUGCCAAUCCUUCAAAAAUUCUAAGUUUUAAUUUAAUUCUUCAAAUAUUUGUUUAAAUCAUAUUUUCAUAAAUCAAAUCAUUAUCCCGUAUUAUUAUUUAUUCAAAGUCCAAUCCAUAAAAAAAAUCACAUGUUUUAAUUUAAUUCCUCAAAUACUCUUUUAAAUCUCAUAUUUAUCCACUAGAAUUAUUAUCCUAUAUUCUCCUAUUUAUCUAUGCCAAUCCUUAAAAAAUUCUAAGUUUUAAUUUAAUUCUUCAAAUACUUGUUUAAAUCUUAUUCUCAUAAAUCGAAUCAUCAUCCUGUAUUAUUAGUUGUUCGAAUUCUAAUCCAUUAAGAAAAUCCCAUGCCGUAAUUUAAUUCUUCAAAUACUCGUUUAAAUCUUACGUUCAUCAAUGAGAAUUAUUAUCCUAUAUAUUCAUUUAUUUAUCUAUACCAAUCCUUCAAAAAUCUCAUGCUUUAAAUUAAUUCUUCAAAUAUUUGUUUAAAUCUUAUUUUCAUAAAUCGAAUCAUCAUCUCGUAUUUUUAGUUAUUUAAAAUCUAAUCCUCCAAAAAUCCCGUCUUAAUUUAGUUUCUCAGCAAUUUGUUUGAAUCUUAUUUUCAUCAAUUAGGAUUAUUAUCUCAUAUUUGUCUAUUUAUUUAAAACCUAGUUCUUCAAAAAUCUCUUGUCUUAACUCAAUUUUUCAAUUCAAAUUCUCAAUUAGAAAAAUUCCACUAUUCUCUUUUUUAUUCGUCUAAACAUUAUUUUUGUUAAUUAGUAUCAUUAUUCCGUGUUUAUUUAUUUAUUUAUUUCAAUCAUUAAAAUUCAAUUCUUCAAAACCGGAUUUCCAAAUUUAACCUUGAGAUUCAAAAAUUCCACCAUUCACUAUCAUUCAUUCAAAUAUCAUCUUUGUUAUCAUUGUUAUAAAUUCCACGUUUACUUGUUUCUUUCUUCUAAAAAUCCCAAUAAUUAGAGUUCAAUUAUUCAAAGGCCCGACUUUCAAAAUUUAAUUUUCAAAAUCCCACUAUUCACUAUUCAUCCGCCCAAAUAUCGUUUUGAUUAAUCAGUAACAUUACUCCAUACUUACCAUUUAUUUCUCUUAAAAAUUUCAAUCAUUAGAGUCUAAUUCUUCAAAAUUCCGAUUCCUAAAUUUAGCUAUUUGAAAUUCCAAUUGUCUUAUCUCCGAACUUAAUUUCCUGUUUCCCAUGCUCCAAUUCCCGUAUUUACCCCGCUACUUAUUAUUAUCAUUAUUAUUAUCAUCUUAUUCAUUAUUUCUAUAAAUUCUGCAUUCGAAUGAUUUCUAAGAUUUUCCAUUUUUUACGCAUCAACUUUCAUAAUUUCUACGCCUCAAAUAACUUACGAUUCUGAUCCCUUUUGAAAUUUAACUCCCAUAAUCCCAAUUUUCGUAACUUAAUUUUUCUUAAAAAUCCCAAACCUUCAAAUAAUUCUUCAAAAUCCCAAUUUUCUUUCAAAUUUAUCUAAAAGUUCUCAUUUCUUACAUAUAAUUCCUAAGAAUCUAAUUUUCAAAUAAUCUCUAAGAUUCCGAUUCUCAAAUGAAUUUAACCUUCGAACAAUUUUAAUCCCUGCUUAGUGAUGCAUGUGGUAUGUUUUGUGCUUUAUAUGGUGUACUAACCCUCUCUAUUGAUAGCGCAUGCCGGUUUGUUGCCCAGGUAUGUACCUAUUUUCCCUCUAAUCGUUGUCUAUGCAUGUCUCGACUCUUAUAUGUGCAUGAUCAUUCAGGAUAUUCACUGAUUUACUCGUAAAUUGCCACGUCAGCUUCAUUUUGUUAGUAGAGACCCGAUUUUAGGGACUUAGAGGGGUGCUAUGGUCUUUUACCGUACCUUCUCGAUAAGUAACCUGACCCCCGAGCCCGAUCCGGUUUCUCGUAGAUCACCUUUUCCAAAAUAAGGAGUCGCACUUAGGGUUUUCUUUCUUAUUUUGUUUACCUUUUUAAAUAAAAACAAAAAUAAGUGGCGACUCCAAGUCAUUUUUUUUAAUCAAAUAAAAUCAAUUUUUCAAAUAAAAAUCGAGCUCGCCAUCGAGUGGAGAACACAUGAGCCGAAAAUGCGAGGUCCACAACUAUACCUUUUCCUGCUCUCUGCAUAAUGCCAAGAUAUCAACCCGAACACAGGGGACCCAAAAGAACAAUUAAGCAAAUGCAAUUAGGCCCAAAUCAAACCAAACAACAAUCCAACAAGCCAAGGUCCAAUACCAAAAUGGAUGGUGGGAAUGCAAUCUAUGAAUAGAUGGAUGGGAUUUGAUACCAAAAUGGGUAUUAAAGAUUGGGCCAAACAAAUAAAAAGGAAUGCUAAAAACAUUAACAAAAUGAGCCUUAAAAUAAAUUUUAAAAAAGUAAAUAAACAAAUAAAAAGAAAGGGUGAGGUAAAUUUGAAGGUCUACAUUCUACAACCCUAAGAAUUUCAUACUAAAAAGCUGAUAUGACACAAAAAUUCAACUCUUUUGGUUGACCACUAAAAUCCUUUGAAUUUCAUCAAUUUAAAUUUGGCAUGUGUUCUUUGAUUUGCCUUUUUUACUUUUCAACUAUCACCAAAUAGAAGAAUUUUCAAACUUGAAAUUCCAACGUGGCCUAAAAUACCUGGUCAUUACAAUGCACAUGACUCCUAUUCAAAUAUUGUAGACCCCAAAAUUUGUCCAAAAUUUACUUUUAUAUUGUUUUAGCCUAAUUUUAUCCUUAGAUUUCAAUCCGAUUAUAUUUGAUUUUUUUUUUGCCCAUUUAUACCAUUUAAAUUUAAAUUUUUAUUAUUUUAUAUUAUUUUUAUUUUUUCUUCUUCCUCUUUUUCCUCACCUACUUCCUCACUCUCUCUCCUAACCCAUAUCCCCCAUACCUCCCACAUCCCAAGAUUCCCUCCUCCUGUUGGUGCAGUACUAACUAGAUUAGAGUUCAUCUAGCUUCUCUAGAGUUAGACGGGCUUCUUGCUUGCACAAAAGGAUGUUUGGACAGGUGGUCUGAGCACGCCCCUCUAAAGCUUAAGUCAAAAAGUAAUAAGGAUGGGUCUAGUUGUUUCGAAUGGCUUUGUACGCGCAUACCUUUUUCAUGCUUCUCAAAGGGUUUUUACAAAGUGGAUGACACCAUCGCCAUAGCGUUGAGAAGCAUUUAUACCUUUUUUGUGAUGAUGAUUGCAAUCAGGGCGGAAAUCAACCCUUAGCAAGAGAGUCAACACCAUCAUCUCUACGCGGAUUAGGCAAUCAUACCAAACAAAAUCCUCUGACCAGGCACUAGGUGUGAUUAUCGAUUUGUUCAAUGCUUGGAAUCUCCGACUGUAUUGGUUAAUCUAUCUGAAAAUCUUAGUUGGCUUGGUUUGUCCAUUCCGUCUGACAUCCAAAAAGAAGGAAAUCUCUUUCCUCUUGCACUAGAUAGAGUUUGUUUUGGUUCAGAUGGAUUAAUCUCAGACAGAUCAUUUGCUUAUCUUGGAUGGACCAAAGGUUUUUGAUUUGGGGGAGGACACAUGGAAGGAAACCUCCCACAAUGCCCCCUUAAUCUGCAUGCUUCUAUCAUGUUGGGUAGCCGGCGAGUUGAGGCAAAAUGGAUUAUCUGUCUCUUCAGGUUAUUUGAGUGCUUAGGAACAUGUGUCAUUUGGGGCUGCAAUGAUGGGUCACAUCAAUCAAGGCUAGCUAUCAGGCAGCACACCUCUUCAGUUAGCUUUGGGAAGUGUUUCCAAGCGGCUUGUCCCUUGGAAUACCUAGGCUUUUGGAUCCUUAUAAAUAGUAGGGCUCCAUACUUUUUGGAAUACCUAGGCUUUUGGAGUUUCCUUGCCCACACUGCACCUCUACCGUCACUGCGUUUGCCACGGUCGUUGCUUUUCGCCUUCCUCCUCUACCGCUGUGUUUGCCACCGAUCACUGAUCUUCGCCUUCCUCGUCACUGGCUUUAAACAUGCCUUCCCCACUUAAGAGGGCUAAUUCCUUAUUCCAAUAAGUUUUUUGCCACUCACCAUUCCUUUUGCAAUGCUUGUUGUUCUUCUUUAGACCGUGUCGGUAGUUAGAGACCUCGACAUCCAGAUUUAGGGUUUCUCAUUGUCUUUGCUUGUUCUGGGUGCUUUGUUUGGGAGAGAAUGAAUUUGUCGAUGGCCAGACUUAAGGCUUUUUCAGUUUCCUCUUUUUCUCCUGUGUUGUUAAGGCACUUUUCAUUGGUUCAUGUUCUUUUUUCAUUGCUGUCGCGUUGGGGCGAUGGGAGUGAUUCUUCCUAUGUCAUUCUUGUUCUGUAAGUUUCAAUAGUCAACCUGUCUAGCUUCAAAUUAUUUGAAAGAAAGAAAAUUAAAUUUGAAGAUUGAAAUUUUUGGAAAUUAGAUUUGAAAGAAAUUGGAAUUUUGAAAAAUUAUUUGAGAAUUUGAGUUUUGAAAAUUAAAUUAUGAAAAUUGGAAACUUGGAAAUUAUUUAAAAAUGGAAAUUUUGAAAAUUGGAAUUUUGGAAAAUUAUUUGAAAUUAAAUUUAAAAAUUGGAAUUUUGAAGAAUUAUUAAAGAUGAAAAUUUUAAAAAUAGAUGAAGUUUCUCAAGUGUGUGGUAUCACUUGAGGGGUUGUUCAGGAGUGGGAUUGAGAAGUGUAAAGGGUGCUUGGAGCCAAAAGUCCAAGAGGGUGAAUUGGAACCAUAAUCCAAUUAUAUUGCUUGAAGACUUGGUUUGGAAGCCUUGAAUUAGUGGAACCUCAAGCUCGGGAUUGAAGCUAGAGGAGAGUGGAUGUAGGCCAGGUUGCACCAAACCACUAAAAAUUUGGGGUUUACAUUUUUCUUUCCCCACCUUUUUAAUUUAAUAGGAAUUGUUUUUUAUUUUUUUUUUAAUAACCUGGAAUAAAAUUGUUUUUACUUUCCCCAUGGUUAAAUUUGAAAAAAAGGGGCCCUCCCCCUUUUUCCCCCCCCCCCCCCCCCCCCUUUAGGGUCAUUACCAUAGGUUGGAUUAGCCUUUUUUUUUUUAACAAUAUUGAUUCCAUCACUAAUAUUAUUUAAUUCUACAUUUUCAUCCACUAGGAUACCACGUAGAAGUUCUUGCAGUAAUUAAAGCCUAUCAUUAUGGCAUUUGAAUCUACUUUUCACAUCUUCAAGAAAACUACUACCAUUGAAUUGAUAUAGGAUAUCAUUAUAAACCAUCUUGGCAAUGAUAGUUUUGCCAAUUCCAUCGGUUCCAUAGAUUCCAAUCACACGAAUGUCAUCCAAAUGAAUACUUAACAAUGAUUUUAGUUCUUUCAAGCAAAACUUCAUUCCAACUAUGGGCUCUUCAAUAGACAAAAGUUUAGGAUUCAAUCUUUAGAGGAUGUGGCCAAUAAUUUCUUUGAUAGGAUUUGACUCAUACCUACCAAUUAUAAAACACAAUGAAACAUGUGGUUAGCUAUAGUAAGUUGCAAAAGAUAAUAGAUCAAACCAUAUUUCUUAAAUUUACAUAUCUAAUUACCAUUUCAUUAAUGUCAUAUCGAGCAUAAAUGGGAAAGGAAAAAAAGGAAUAUAUGAUUUUUGUUAGCUUUGCUACUCAAUGUUUGGAAGGAUCUUACUUCUUACUAAAGAUAAUCACUCUAGAAUACUAUUAUGAUAAUAAUUCUAAUCCUAUGACAUUGAUGGAGACAAUUACUACUCAUUUGAUCAAAUAUGCUACCAAUUCCAGAUCAAGCUUCCCAAUCUAGUAAAGUAUUUGUUAAUUAGAGCACUACCUAUUACCAUUCUCUAUGCUCAUGUGACUCCAUUUCAUUGAUUAUCUUAACAAACUAACAAGUUGCUCAUGCCUUGCUUUCUAGUCUAUUUGUCCUAACAUUCUAUCGACUUUCCAAUCGUUAUAUUAGUGAAAGUGACAAUAUCCCCAUUUUUCCAAAAGGGACAAAAUACAAUUAUAAGGAAUAAUUCUAUGAUCUAUUUGUUGAAAAAAAAAUUUUUUUGUUAAAAUUUUUAAUUUUUAUUUGUAUAAAAUAAAAAAUAAAAUAUAUUUAUCAUAAAAAUUUGUAUUUAAUAAUUUAUAUUGAUUUUCUCUUAAUUUUAUUGAAAAUAAAAAAAAAUUGCAUACACUACUACAAAAAUAGUUUAUGGUGUCACUAUUUACGGUGUCACUUUUAAAAUAAUGACACCAUAGGGUUUAUAAUUAAUAAAGGUGACACAUCAUAUAAAAAAUCUUCAAUUGAGGUAGUUAGAUGAUAUUAAUUUUAUAUUUAUAGUGUCAUUUUUUAGGAAGUGACAUCAUAUAAAAUAAAUUUUUUUAGAUAUUAUAACUUAAUGAGCCCACUUUUAGAAUUAAUAAUGAUGGAUACUAUAUAAAAAUCCCAUUGUUUCCAUAUUUCACCCACAAUCCAAAAAAUCUCAAUAUAUAAAUCCUAUAUAUAAAAUCAUGAUCUUCUUCAACCUUUUCUCUCACCCAUCCAUAGUCAACACGCUCACAACGGACAUUCUUCACUUUGUGGACUCCCAGGUAACCCAAAAUCUCUUGGAUCUAUCAUUUUUUUUCUUUUAUUAAUGUCAUUAUAUUAUUUGUUUCAACAUCUUUGUAUUAAGGUUUUUGUGAAUUGUGUUUUCUUGAGUUGUAGGGAAAAAAAAUUUAGGUUUAAUCUUCUAACAUAGAAGAAAAAACUGUAGAUUUUGAUUUUUUAAUCUAAACCAAACACAUGAUCAAGUCUUUAAAAAAAAAGUGAAAAACAGGAAAAAAUGAAUGAUUUUUAAUAUGUAUUUGUGUGAGAAUGACAGGUACAUAAUUUUUUUGAGAUUUAUUAUCACAUAAUCUUCAUCCUUUCUAAAAAACGAGAGAGGAAAAAAAAAGAAUAUUUUUCUGUUUGUAUCUAANNNNNNNNNNNNNNNNNNNNNNNNNNNNNNNNNNNNNNNNNNNNNNNNNNNNNNNNNNNNNNNNNNNNNNNNNNNNNNNNNNNNNNNNNNNNNNNNNNNNAGUCCAGCAACAAAAGUAGUGUCCAACCUUAAAAUGGGCAUGUGUGGUAUUGACGGGAGAUGAUAAGAUGGAAAUCAUAACCAUAGCCAUGUUCUCUCUGUAUCUUUCUAUCAUCUUCAAUUAAUUCAUGGGCAUAGAUAUUUUAUUUAGUUUUUAUAUUUAGUUUAUUUAUAGUUUAUUUAGUUUCUAAAAUCCAAUUAGCUAGAUAUUUUAUUUGAUUUUGUUUUUAUAUUUAAGUAGUUGAGUUUUGGAAAGUUUUUAUAUUUUGUUAAUAGAAAUAGAAAUUUUUAUAUUUUUUAUUAUUAGGAAAUUCUAUUUUGUUAAAUUGUAAGUAUCUAUCUCAAUAAGAGAUUAUUAAUAUUCAAAUGAAAGUGAUAAAAGAGAGUAAAUAUUUUAAUGCUCAAUUAUAUUUUAAUGUUAUUUUUUUUUACAUAAGGGUUUAUUUAUGUUUUCAAUUUUGAAGUUCCCUUUCCAAGUCUAGCAACAAAAGUAGUGUCCAACCUUAAAAUGGGCAUGUGUGGUAUUGACGGGAGAUGAUAAGAUGGAAAUAAUAACCAUAACCAUGUUCUCUCUUUGUCUUUCUAUCCUAUUCAAUUAAUCCAUGGGCAUAGAUAUUUUAUUUAGUUUAUUUAUAGUUUAUUUAGUUUCUAAAAUCCAAUUAGCUAGAUAUUUUAUUUGAUUUUGUUUUUAUAUUUAAGUAGUUGAGUUUUGGAAAGUUUUUAUAUUUUGUUAAUAGAAAUAGAAAUUUUUAUAUUUUUUAUUAUUAGGAAAUUCUAUUUUGUUAAAUUGUAAGUAUCUAUCUCAAUAAGAGAUUAUUAAUAUUCAAAUGAAAGUGAUGAAAGAGAGUAAAUAUUUUAAUGCUCAAUUAUAUUUUAAUGUUAUUUUUUUUUUUACAGAAGGGUUUAUUUAUGUUUUCAAUUUUGAAGUUCCCUUUCCAAGUCUAGCAACAAAAGUAGUGUCCAACCUUAAAAUGGGCAUGUGUGGUAUUGACGGGAGAUGAUAAGAUGGAAAUCAUAACCAUAACCAUGUUCUCUCUGUGUCUUUCUAUCCUAUUCAAUUAAUUCAUGGGCAUAGAUAUUUUAUUUAGUUUUUAUAUUUAGUUUAUUUAUAGUUUAUUUAGUUUCUAAAAUCCAAUUAGUUAGAUAUUUUAUUUGAUUUUGUUUUUAUAUUUAAGUAGUUGAGUUUUGGAAAGUUUUUAUAUUUUGUUAAUAGAAAUAGAUAUGAGGACUUAAAGGGUUUAUAUUUAGGUAGUGCUUGAGCCAAGGAAAAUGAUAGUCCAUUAUCUUGACCCUGUGCAUCACAAACCAUGUGAGGACUUAAAUGACAUCGUAAACAUGUAAGUUCUUCCUAUUAUUUUUCAUAGUAUUAUUUUUAAAUAAAAAAAUACAUUCACCUCAAACAAAUUUUUUUGAUUAUUUAUAUAUAUUAAAACAUAUAACAUUUACCUAUUUUAAAAAUGUACCCAUUGAACUUAUUUACAUAGGGUUCUUCGAAUAUUUGCAAAGAAAACAUCUAAGAGGGAGCCAUCUUAGCAACUAGUGCAGGUGACAUCCAAAAAUUUUUCUUUACACAUUAGCUUAUGCAUUUGCACCAUUUAUAUAUGUGAGUACUAAUGUUAUUUUAUAAUUGAUCGAUUAGUGUCCAAGACAAGAAGGAGGGUUCGAAUGUGGCUACUUUGUUAUGAGAUUCAUUAAAGAGAUAAUUUUUUAUCCUACAAUUAUUGCUUCAAAGGUAUUACUUAUUUAAUGAAUUGUACAUAGUUUUAGGCCUCCAAAUGUUAUGCAUUUUAAUGUUAUUUUCUUAUUUGAUUUCAGUUUGGUGAUAAAAAAAAAAACAUAUUCUCAAGUAGAAUUCGAUGAAAUUAGAGGAGAAUGGGCUACUUUUGUGCUACAACUAAUCAUGAAUCAUGUUCAUGCAUCAUGAUCACCAUGCAUGGUGAGUCCCUUAGCUACUACAUGAAUUUUUCCAUAGGUAUUGUAUAGUAAUGCUUAUUCUUUGAAUAAUGUUUCUAUUUGAAAAAAAAAAUAGUUCUUAGAUUUGUUCAUUUAUGAUAACAUCGAUCCAUGUUUAUUUUCUUCAAUAAAAAUCUCUAAAACUCAUUAAAUUUUGAAAUGCAAGUAUACACUCUUGGGAGGGUGAAAUGGAGAAUAAAAAAGAAGAAGGCAACAAGAUUUUGGGUUUUUAAAUGUAAAUCUUAUGUCAUACGUUAUAGGACAUAAACGUUACUUUAAUUGCAACUGAGAAAUUUAGAUUUUUAGAUGAGACUUUUAUGUCAUUUUAUGGUUAGCCAGUUUUAUGCUUAUGAAAUGGAGGUAUACAUGAAUCUUGGGAUCUUUAACAUUUCUGAAUCAUGUUUUGGUAUGUAUUCACUCUUCUUUUUUAGUUUUGAUGGGUUUGAUAUGUUGGACGUACUAUCCUUUUGUGAACAUUUGGUAUACAAAUAUUAUUAGAUGAUUAAUGUAUUAUGAGUUAUUCCAUAAACAUUACAGAAAAAUGAGUUAAAUAUAAUAUGAUUGUUAUAUUUAUGGACAAAAUAUAAACAUGUUAAUCUUAUUAAUUCAUAAGCAUUACAAAAAUCAACAACUAAAACCAAUCAUAUCUUCCACAAUAAUUUACAAUGAUGUGAUACCAUAACUCAAAGGUGAUGCAUUUAAUGUGCCAUCAUAACUCAAAGAUGAUGUAUUUAAUGUGACACCCUAUCAUCACUAGAAAUAUAUGGUGUCACUUCCGAAUGGGUCACCAUUUAUCUACUUUGGUGUCACUUCCAAAUACGUCACCAAUUGGUACCCUCUAUGAUGUCAGUGGAGAAGGUGACGUUAUGUUGUAGUGACACCCUAUGAUUAUGGUGACUCGUUAUAAAUGUCACCAUAUACCUUUUUCCUUGUAGUGAUACUAAAGUUGUGCAUUGAUCGACAAAACUCGUGGAAAAGAGGGUACCGCUUUUUUAUGAAAAAAGUACCACACUUAUAUGAAAAAAGCACCACUAAAGUGUGUUAAAAAUACAAUUGUAGUGGAAAUGAUAUGCUACUUUUCUUUGAUUUAUGGUAAGGUAUACUAUAGCAUGAAUUGAGUAAAUGUUAUUGCAUAAUAACACCGAUUGACAUAACCCUUGGAAAAGAAGGGUAUUGGUUUUUUAUUAAAAAGAUAAUGACUAUUCAAAGUAUCAUUGUGCUAAAAGAGUGGUACUAUUCUUUUAUUAAAAAAAAAAAAGUACCACCAAAGUGUUUUGAAAAAGUAGUAUAAUGGUAUUUGUAACACAGAGUGGUACUUUUAGUAUAGUGGUACUUUUAACAUUGGUAUUUUUAACACACUUUAGUGGUACUUUUUUCAUAAAAGAGUGAUACAUUUUUCAUAAAAGAAUAGUACCAUAUUUUCCAAGGAUUGUGUCAAUGCGUAACUUCAGUACGUAAAAUUUUUAAUUUUUAAUAAAAUUUUAAAAAUUAAUAUAAAUGAUUAAAAAUUUUAAAAAGCAAAAUGUUGAAAUCACAACCAAGUUUUUAUCUUCUUUAAUUAAAAUAUUAAAUAUUUUAAUUAAAAAAAAAAGUGAAAACCAUGGUCAAGUUAGAUGAUAAGCAAAAAGUUAAAAUCAUAAUCAUCGACUUUGAUUUUCAAAUAAAAUUUUAAAUUUUUAAAAAAUUAUAUAAAUAAUAAAAUAAUAUGACAAUGCAAUAAAAUUUAUACAAUAAAUAAAUAUUUUAUUUAACAGAGAUAUAAAAAAUCUUAUAUCCUAAAUUUCUAAAUUUAUUCAUUAUGUGUUUAUUGUUAUAUUAAUUUUGUUCACAUUAAUUAUUUAUUAUAUAUUAUUAUUUUAUGUUUAAAAUGGCCAUAAACAAUUAAAAUCAAUAAAUUUGAAAAUAUGAAAUUGUGAAAAAAUUGAAAUUAAAAAAAUUUCAUGAAGCCAAUAUAUUUAAAAACAAAAAGGUGGAAAUAUUAUGGACGAGGAAAAAAAAUCGACUGCCACAUGUCAAUUAUUUUAUUUUAUUUUUUAAAAUGACAACUAUAAUGAGCUAAGUUAAAAAUAUUGGCAGUUGGCCUUAGGAUGAGAGGAGGAUUAGAUGGUAGUUUGGGAAAAUGGAUGAUUUUAGUAUUACAGUAGAAUAAAAAGUAAUGGAAAUUGACCUUAGAACGAGAGGAGGGUUUGAGGGUAGUUUUGGAAUGUGUAUGAUUUUUACAAUUAUUUUCUCAAAUUUGCCAAUGAUCACAUGAUUCUCCCAACAUAAAAUCAAUAGCUACGUAGCAGGUUUAAGAAUUCCAAAUUCAGAUUCUCUUAUAUAAAUUAUAAAUUCGAAAGUUCAAACGAAGUUGAAAUUACCCAUCCUUCACAUGCCAACCACUUAGACAGCUUGCUUCAGUCAUGGCAGCCCUCCACCUUCGCACCUUCUCCUCGUCUACGUUUAUUUCAUAAUUCGCAAAUGCUUCUCCAAAACUCCCACUUAAUUUGUUUCCGCACAUCAAAAGGAUACACAUGGUAGAAAACUGGCAACGCUAUUUGAUCUAUUUCUUUUAUGCACUUCAUGAUCUUUGUUAGCUCAUCCAAACACCAUUUGGAAUGAGCAUUCUUUUCUCAGAAAACAAUUAUGGAAAAUCUUGAUCCUUCAAUAGUUCCCAAAAGUUCUUGUGUGAUUUCUUCUCCUCUUUCAAGUUUAUCAUCUCUAAAAGUGUUAAUACCCAUCCGAUCCAAAUUUACGAAUAGAUGAUCUGUAAAAUUGUAGCGGGUGUCUUCCCCCGUAAAACUCAAGAAGACGUCCAAGUUACAUUUUCCGGUUGGAGCUGAGGAAGAAGAGGAUUUUUGGGUGCUUGAGGAAGCCAUUUUGGGACAGGUUUUGUGGGAACUGGAAGACUACAAGAGAGUUGAGGAUCAACUUGCACACAGCCAAUACUAAUGUCCCUGAAGAGGGUCUUUUAAGUAUCAAGAGUCUGCAAAACCUCAAUCACUUUUCACAUUAUUUAUUUUCUACUUUGUAUUUGUAUGGCAUUGCCUUUUUUCUUUUCUUUUUUUUUUUUUCAAAUAAUCAAAUUUUUAAAUAAAAUUCCAACUACCCAGUCACCCACCUCCACUUGUUAUCCCAAGUCCCAGCCUGUUUUUGCUACUUCCACCUCCCAUGGAAUCCCAACAUUUAUAAUAAAUAAAAUAAUAAAUGUUGGUUUUGUGUUUUUAAAUCAUUUUGCACUGUCUCAGAAACUCACAUCCAUGGGGUUUAUGUGCUCAAAGGUCCUAUCUGUGACUAUGAUAUAAACAAUCACUUUUAGUGCAUGCCCUUUUUAUCAAAAAUCGUUUCAAUGAUGUAUCGCCUACCAUUUUCAUAUUAAACAUGUUUUCAUGAUAUGUUAUGGUAAUUGGUCAUAUAAUUGGCUUAACAUACAUCCGCUGACCCAAAAAAAAAAAAAAAAAAAAAAUUAAAACUAGUUAGAUCCACGUACUCACCUUUUUUUUUUUUUUUUUUAAUCAAAAAUCGUUUUAAAAAACUUUUGAUUUCCUUGUGCUCACCUAAUGUUUUCAUUAAAAUACAAGAACUCAUUUUUUUGAGAACUUUUUCUUGUGAUCAGCUUAUCCUUGUACCUUCUUAAAAAGCAAGAUUGAUUCAUGUUAGUUGGAAGAUAAAAACAAGUACUUCUAACAAAUUGUAUAUUUAGUACAUUGAUAAUUUAACUAAUGGGAAAAGGCCAUAGAAAGUAAAUGUAAACGGACAAUAUAGUUAGACAUGAAAUUUCUAUAAAUACAUGAAAAUAACAUUUAUAUUCCAUAGAUGAAAAUAGCAACUGUCAUGUAUGUAGGGACCCCUCCCCCUGAAGACGCAUGACGCAUAUUUCCUGAUGACACGUGGCACAUAUUUCUAUCCGGAUUACCCCCAUCCGGACACGUGACGCGCUUCUCCUAUCCGGACUUCCUCAGGGAGAAGCACACGACACUCGCAAACAUCACAUCCGGACGAUUGCCAUAUCACAUCCGGACGACCGACAUAUCCUAUCCGGAUAUGUUUGUCCGGAUCGUUGACUAAAGUAAGCAAGUCUUACUACGUCAUUUCAACAGCCUGCCACGACCCACGUUCCGCCACCUGCAGAGUGAAAAGAUAGGAAUGAUGGCAAGUCACUUCCUACGAUCUCUGAUAGUUGCGGCGCCUCCCAUGAUCUCUGUCAGCCGCCCGUAGGGUGAUGAUGGCCCUGUCACCACCUAGAGGCAUCAUGACAAACCAAAAUAUCUCCCUACCAUUAAAGAGAGAAACAAAGCUCUUAAAUGCUAUAUAUAUGGAUCUUCACACAAAGAGGAAGGUAAGCUUGCUAUACCUAGUAAAAAACCAACUGAUUAUUCUCUCUAACCAUGGCUGACAAAACCAUCGGAGGGUGUGUCCGGACACCCUGUCCGGACGCCUUUUGCAGGAACGACUGAACCAGGAAUCUAUAUUGGUUGAGAUCGUGCGUCCAUCCAUUUGGCAAUUGUGUGGAUCACUAGGGACACGAGGCCUCAACAUUGGCGCCGUCUGUGGGAAAACUCGCUAAUUCAGUCACCGGCGAAGAUGGCCACACCUUCCCGUAGCUGUUCAUCUGGUAGGGGAGAGGAACAUAAUUCUGAAUGGCGCCAAGCCAUCGAAAGAAGACAGUUGGCAAGCGAGCGACAACUGCAAGCUCUCCUCCAGGAGACAGAAAGGUUAAGAGAAGAAAACGCGGUGCUACGCAUCCAGGCUUCAUCGACGGGGACUCCCCGUCGUCAGCAUUCAAGAGGCCAGGUAGCAAACUCAAGGCCAGAACCAGAGUCAAUAUACCCUGGGACAGCAGGAGCCAUCCUAGAAGCAUGCAACGUUAGGCCACAUGAGCCACACACUCCCAUGCAUCAAGCUCCCCAUGAGGAAAGCUCAGACUCCACUCAUUUUUCAGCAAAAAGACAACGCGAUAAAAGACCCCAGUUGUCAAACUCAAUGCACGCGAGACUAGGCCCACAGCAGCCUAGGAGGCCAAGGCCACCAGUAGCCACAACCUGGGGAGCACACCCUGACCCUAUGGUCACCCCUGUGGUGCAGAACGUUCUCCCGCACCGUGACCCCAUGGUCACCCCUAUGGUGCAGAACGUUCAACCGCACCUAGUGGUACGACAAGCUGGGAGGAACCUCCCAAAUGAGCCACCCAUUGGCUCCAUCAGCAAAAGGCUGGACGACAUGCUCUCCACGCCUUUCUGCUCUCAUAUCAUUCAUUACGAUCCCCCAAGGGGAUUUCUCGUGCCCAAAUUCUCCACAUACGAUGGGUUCAGCGACCCCUUCGACCAUAUCAUGCAUUAUCAACAGCUCAUGACUCUCGAUAUAGGCAACGACGCGCUGCUAUGCAAAGUAUUCCCCGCCAGCCUACAAGGGCAGACCCUCUCAUGGUUUCACCGCCUACCUCCCAACUCUGUUGAUAAUUUCUGAGACCUAUCAGAGGCCUUCGUGAGAAAUACUUAUGCUCCGCUCGACAUAAGCAAAACAUCAGCACUCUGCAAAACAUAAAAAUGCAGGAUAACGAAUCCUUAAGGGAGUUCAUGAAGCGGUUUGGUCAGGCCGUACUACAGGUAGAGGCUUACAGCAUGGAUGCUGUCCUGCAGAUCUUCAAGCGAAGCAUCUGUCCAGGCACCCCAUUUUUUGAAUCACUCGCUAAAAAGCCUCCUACGACGAUGGACGACUUAUUCCGACGUGCGAACAAAUACUCAAUGCUCGAAGAUGACGUGCAAGCAGCCACCCAGCAAGUCUUGGUUGCCGGACAGGCAUCCAGAAGUGGCGCAGAAAGAAGUGCCAAACUUCCGGACUGGCCAAGGCCGUUCGAUCGAAGGUAGGAAGGGCCAAGUCGCCCGGAAAGGCCGCCCCUCACACCACUUUCCAUAUCAUAUGAGAAACUUAUCCCUACGAUCCAAGGCAUGUUCGACUUCAGGUGGCCUAGACCCCUUGGAACGGACCCAUCCAAAAGAGAUCAUAGCAAAAAAUGUGCCUUCCACAAGGAACAUGGUCACACAACAGAGACAUGCAGGUGCCUCCAAUAUUUGGUCGAAAGGCUCAUCAAGGCGGGACAUUUAAAGCAAUACCUCCUCUCAAAUGCCGGAGGUAGAGACGCUUCCCAAAAUCACAACUCUGGAGCCCCCAGGGCCCCAACCGCCCCCAAAGUCGUUAUAAACUAUAUUAACGGAGGCCCAUCUAACGAGGAGUACGACUCCAAACGAAAGAGACAAAAGUUGUUGCGGGCAGCAUCGGUGCGCGAACGUGUCAACUCCAUUCGGCCAGGAAUAACUGGGGAGGGGGGGGAGGGGGGCCUCGCCCCAUAGAUGGGACAAUCGUUUUCCCACCAGUAGACCCCACCCGGAUACUGCAGCCGCACCACGACGCCCUCAUCCUGUCCCUAGAAAUAGGAGACUUCGAUGUGAGACGCAUCCUGGUUGACCCAGGCAGCUCAGCCGAUCUUGUACAAGCAUCGGUUGUUAGCCACAUGGGGCACAACCUCAUAGGCCUCGAGAACCCUGGGCGAAUCCUGUCCGGAUUCAACGGGUCGUCAACUAUUUCCUUGGGAGACAUUGUGUUGCCGGUCCAAGCUGGCCCAGUCACUCUCAACGUACAAUUUUCGGUGGUACAAGAUUUAUCACCCUUCAAUGUCAUCUUGGGGCGCACAUGGCUACACUACAUGAAAGCCAUCCCCUCUACAUAUCAUCAAAUGGUAAGUUUCCUUACCAAGGAUGGGCAAAUUGACCUAUAUGGCAGCCAGUUAGCCACUCGCCAAUGCUACCAGAUAGCACGAGAAGCAGGGACCAGCCAGGAAGAUGCAUCCCUCCCUGAGUCCAGCCAUGCACGUGACCAAUAGCAAUUAUUGGGUUCGGCGGACAAAGAUCCCCUGGCAGCAGAACCCUUGCAAGCAAUUCAAAUUUCGGAAAAAGGUACUCACCUUACGAAUAUCAGUUCCCUCCUAACACCAGAAGAGACCCGGAACAUGCAGAACGCCCUCAGACAAAACCAUGACAUCUUCGCAUGGGCACAUUCUGAUAUGAAGGGAAUCCAUCCCUCCAUUACCUCUCAUAGGCUUAAUGUCUUGCCAACAACCAGACCCAUCUGGCAGAGGGUUAGGCGCUUUCACCCGGACAUACAAAAAAUUAUCUGGAAUGAGAUUGACAAGUUGCUAGAAGCUGGAUUUAUCAGAGAAGUGGAUUACCCAGACUGGUUGGCAAAUGUAGUGGUGGUACCCAAAAAAGAAGGCAAAUAGCGGGUGUGCGUCGACUAUACCAACCUCAAUAAUGCAUGCCCAAAAGACAGUUUCCCUUUGCCACGUAUAGAUCAAAUUGUGGAUUCCACUACUGGGCAGGGGAUACUCUCCUUCUUGGACGCCUUCUCCGGAUACCACCAAAUCCCCAUGUCUCCGGCUGACGAAGAAAAAACAGCCUUCAUAACACCGCAUGACCUCUAUUGCUACAAAGUCAUGCCAUUCGGACUCAAAAACGCUGGCGCCACUUAUCAGAGACUGAUGACGAAAAUCUUCAAACCUCUGGUCGGCCGCACAGUAGAGGUAUAUAUUGACGAUAUCGUGGUUAAAAGCAAAACCCGAGAGGAACAUGUCCUCCACUUACAAGAAGUCUUCCAGCUCUUAAGGAAGUAUGGCAUGAAGCUGAAUCCUUCCAAAUGCGCCUUUGGCGUAAGUGUAGGCAAAUUCCUGGGAUUUAUGGUCAGCCAAAGGGGGAUAGAGGUUAGCCCGGAUCAAGUCAAGGCAGUCAUGGAAACACCACCCCCCAGGAGCAAAAAUGAAUUACAGCGCCUCACAGGUAAACUCGUCGCGCUAGGACGUUUUAUAGCCCGCUUCACUGAUGAGUUGCGACCCUUCUUCUUGGCGAUACGAAAAGCUGGAGCGAACGGAUGGACAGACAGCUGUCAAAGCGCUUUUGAGAAAAUUAAACAUUGCCUUAUGCAACCGCCCAUCCUGAGCAGCCCCAUCCCUGAAGAAAAAUUGUACAUGUAUCUGGCUGUAUUAGAGUGGGCAAUCAGCGCUAUUCUAUUCCGCUGCCCCUCACCCAAGGAGCAGAAACCUAUCUACUACGUCAGCAGAGCGUUGGCGGAUGUAGAAACCAGCUAUUAAAAAAUGGAGCUAACGGCCUUAGCCCUUCGGAGUGUCGCCCAAAAGCUCUGUCCUUAUUUCCAAGCCCACCCGAUGGUCGUGCUAACUAACCAACCCCUUCGCAACAUUCUACACAAGCCAGACCUAACCGGAAGAAUGCUUCAAUGGGCCAUAGAGUUAAGCGAAUAUGGGAUCGAGUUCCAACCCAGGCUAUCCAUGAAAGGUCAAGUUAUGGCUGACUUCGUGCUGGAAUACUCCCGAAUGCUUAUCCAGCACAAGGAACCAAGUGAAAAAGAGUGGUGGACUUUGCGGGUCGAUGGAGCUUCACGAUCAUCAGGAUCCGGAGUAGGGCUCCUGCUGCAAUCACCAACAUGAGAACAUCUGGAGCAAGCCAUCCGGCUGGGGUUCCCCGCCUCUAACAAUGAAGCGGAAUAUGAGGCCAUCCUAUCCGGAUUGGACCUCACCCUGGCUCUAUCUGUCUCCAAGCUCCGGAUCUAUAGUGACUCCCAACUCGUGGUAAGGCACGUUCAGAAGGAAUACGAAGCUAAGAACGCGCGCAUGGCGUGAUAUCUGGCUAAAGUAAGAGACACCUUACAGCGGUUCACCGAAUGGACGAUCGAAAAAGUAAAACGAACUGAAAAUGGGCGCGCUGACGCCUUAGCAUGCAUAGCUGCCUCCCUCCCCAUCAAAGAAGCCAUAUUGUUGCCUAUACAUAUGCAAGCCAACCCUUCCGUCACAGAAGCUUCCACUUGCAAUACCAUUGAGGAAAACCAAGCAAAAAGCCAAGAGUGGACAGAAGACAUUAUAAGGUACCUCCGGACAGGCACUCUGCCUGAAGAACCCAAGUAGGCACACAAGAUCUGGGUGCAAGCCGCCCGUUUCACCCUGAUUGGGGGGCACUUGUACAAGUGAUCCUUCACAAGUCCCUAUUUCCGGUGCCUAAACCACACAAAGGCCCUGUAUGUAUUAGCUGAAUUGCACGAGGGAGUAUGUGGAAAUCAUUCUGGAGGUCGAUCUCUGGCACAUAGGGCCCAUUCGCAAGGAUAUUAUUGGCCCACGAUGAAGAAAUAUACGGCAGCCUAUGUCAAAAAAUGUGACAAAUGUCAAAGGCAUGUCCCCGUACCGCAUGUGCCGUCGGAGACAUUGAAGCCAAUUUCAGGCCCCUGGCCCUUCGCAUAGUGGGGCAUGGACAUAGUAGGACCCCUACCAGUCGCACCCACUCAAAAGAAAUUCCUGCUCGUCGCCACGGAUUACUUCAGUAAAUGGGUGGAAGCUGAAGCAUACGCUAGCAUCAAAGACAAAGAUGUCACCAAGUUCGUGUGGAAGAACAUCAUCUGCCGCUUCGGAAUCCCCCAAACCAUUAUAGCCAACAACGGUCCACAGUUUGAUAGCAUCGCCUUCCGGAAUUUCUGUUCGAAACUAAACAUUCGGAAUUCAUACUCCACACCAUGUUAUCCUCAAAGUAAUGGACAAGCAGAGGCCACAAAAAAGACUCUAAUCAUUGCCUUAAAGAAAAGGUUCGAGCAAGCCAAAGGAAAGUGGGUGGAGGAGCUGCCCGGCGUCCUGUGGGCUUAUCGAACCACACCCGGACGUCCGACAGGACACACUCCCUUCGCCCUCGCAUACGGUAUGGACGCAAUCAUUCCUACUGAAAUAGGGCUACCCACUAUCCUGACCGAGGCAGGAAGGCAGGAUGAUGCAAAUAUGGAGUUAGAAAGAAAUUUGGACUGGGUAGACGAAGUAAGAGAAACUGCAUCCAUCUGGAUGGCAGAUUAUCAACAAAGGGCAUCCGCUCAUUACAAUCGCAAAGUAAGGCCCAGAAGCUUCAAAAAUGGUACGCUGGUCCUUAGAAAAGUUUUCGAAAAUACUGUUGAGGUAGGAGCGGGAAAGUUUCAAGCCAAUUGGGAAGACCUCUAUAUAGUAUCUAAGACAAGUGAAAGUGGAGCUUAUCAUCUACAAAAGCUAGACGGAACCCCAUUACUUAGACCAUGGAAUGUGUCCAAUUUAAAACAGUAUUACCAAUGAAAGAGAGAUACAAGUACAAAUAUGAAUAAGUAUGUUUUAUUAAUAUUUGUGAAGUUGUAUACAAAGAGGUCUCCGGACUACAAGAUACAGAGAGAAGAUAGCAGUAAAGAAUCACAAAAAGAAAAGCUCUCAUUGGGAAGGCUUGCCGCGCAGCUUCUCCUCCUCACCCGGGGGAAUCGAAGGGACGUCCCGCUUGAUACCAUGUUUCUUCAUACAGCAACGGUAGCCGAAGAUGUACAUUUCGUCUACCUGCUUCUGGUAGUCCGUUUCAAGUUCCUCCAUUUCCGCAGCAAACUCAACCUCCAACUCUUUUUUUUGCACUGAUAAGCGCAACUGCAAAUCCUCUCUCUGCUUUUUCUCAAUAGACACCUCUGUCCGGAAUUGCCUCACUUUCCCCCUCAACUGGGCCAUCUCAUCCUCCGCCUCAUGCAGGCGGGCGUCUGAAGAUUCCUCCCGACUCUUUGCCUCAGCUAACUCUAUCCGAAAAGCCUCGUUGUCAUUUCGAGCAGCGGAUAAACUGGCUUCGGCCUGCUCCAAUCUCGAGCGCAGAUUCUCUUCACUGUUUUUGCGCUGAGAGACGAAGGCCUUCAUAUAAUCAACAGUCCGCAGCAGGUCAGAAAAAAGGUCACGUUGUUGAGCCAUGCUGCGAAUACCGCUCACCAGCUGUAGAAAAACCCACAAACAAGAAGUGCAAAAAUUACAACCCAUGAGACAAACACAUCAGUAUGGCGAGAAAAAUCAAGAAGUAAACUAUACCAUUUCUGCCGCUUCAAACAUCUUUGCUGAAGGCACAACAACAUCUGAGCCGGAUGGAAUCCGUUUCAGCAUCUCUCCCAACUCCGCAUAGCUGAAAGGACUAGCGAAGAUGCAAGCUGCAUCAUCAACGGGACUCCCCCCUGACGAGGCAUUAGGGAGUGGCUCCUCCCCCGGGUCCGCGGCCCCAUCAUUCUCGGCCGGCUGGGUCUCUCCGGGUGAACCCCCAUCCAGGACCAGCACCGGGGUGGUGGUGUUCUCUUCUGCCAUCUCCGGACGGACGAGCAGUGGACUUCGAUGGCUUCCAGAAAAUGAUCCUAGAGCCGCCCGAUGAGGCCAGACUUUAAGUCAUGCGCCGGACGAGACCUCCUUGUAGAUGACCCCUUCACCGGUACAAAGGCAAGGGGGCUUGGCUCGUAAGGAGGCAAACCCUAACUUUCUGCCCCCGUUUCUUCCGUUGGGGGUGCCGAAGGAGGCAAUGCUUCAACACAAGAGGCCCCGGCUGCAUCCGCGUCCGGAUGGGGAGAGUCGGGUUGAUUUACUGAAGUCGCUUCCUUAGCCAGAAGAGCCAGCCGUCCAGCCACUGGCACUGAAGGCCCCGAAUGAUUCAGACCCGCGAGGCGUCCGAAGCCGCUUGAAACAGAGGGCAAGACGGGGUGGUCCGGCUCUCUUAUUGUUAUUUCUUUUACAAAGGUUGAAGGUGGAAUUACAACUUCCUUUGGGGGAGUUGGGAGUUUUAUUUCUUUUCCCUUAUUGAGAACCAGCUUCUUCUUCUUUUUCGCUGGGGCGCCAGCAGGUGGAGAGGACGCAGGGCGUUUACCACCAGGAGCCUUCCGCAAAAGGCCUUCUUGCCUUUUCUCCUCCCGUUCGUUGAGACGCACUUUGCGUGCUCGGGCGUCUGCCUUACGCACCUUCGGGUAGAAUAGGAGAUCUUGGUGAACAAGUGUUCUCCACUCACCACCUCCUUGGGCAGCCGCCUCGGAAGUAUGUUCAGCACGUACGGCUGGGGCUCCUGGGUAACCAAGCGGAGAUUCUGUGCGGAGAGAAGCGUUUCACAACUCCGCUCGGUCGCCGCAAUCUCAAAAAGCCUGUUCAACGGGUCAAACGAGGCUUUCUCCACCCAUUCUACCAACUUCCCCCUCCUAUCCUUGCCUGCACACAAAAGAACGAAGCAUGUCAACCACCUAAUAAUGCUAACCUAACGCACAAUCGCCGAAAGACAGGGAGUAACUUAUUCAUACCUAGGACCUUCAACGAAUGGUUGGGAGCGAACUGCCUGUUCGAAUGCAUCGACAAGCCCGCCCAUAGGCCCUUGACUAGCACGUGUCCUCUGGCGGCCCCCUUAGUCGAGUCAGGAAGGCUUGUCACCAUCUGAAGGGAUGGAAGGCAGGCAACAAAGCUGUGAAUGUCAUUCUUCAGCUUCUUGAUGGAAUAGAUAAAAAGAACCUCCAGUAGCCAAAGGUCUAAGUUGAACAGUAUGCUCAGAAUGCUACACCCCAUCAGCACCCGGACCAUGUUGGGGUGAAUAUAAGCCGGAGGAAUCUGGGUGAAGUGAAGAAAUUCCUUGAACAACAACGGGAGGGGGAACCGGAGCCCAGCAUUAAAUUGCUCCUUGGUAAAGCAGAUAGCGUUGUCCUCAGUUUUCUCAGUUGACAGGACCUCUCCGUCCGUAAGUUCAACGAACACGCCAUUGGGAAUGCAGAAGCGUUCGCGAAACUCCUUCACAUUCAACUUAUCCAUAGAUUUCUCAACAUGAGCAUUUCCGGACGAGCUCGAUGAAGUAGCUUCCUUGUUCGCAGACAUUUUUUAGGCUAGGGCUGAAAUGGAAUCUGCAUGGAGAAAUGCCAACAGUCAAACACAGCAAUCCGACGCCACAACCUUAAACUCUACCCUAAAGAAGGAUCGACAACCCACAAAAAGUGCAGGGGGGCAACAGAAACCCUAAACACACCCAAAACACAGUAAAAAAACCCCCCGAAAAAAACCCCUAGAAACCAACAUCGACACCCAGUUGCAAACAACUUGCCCAGCAAGCCAGAGACAACCAACAAAGCAAACACAAACGAGGAGAAGACAGAAAUAGAAAACAUACCGAUUGUAAACUGGAAAAAUGGGGAUGAGAACCACACUACAAUCACUGUCACAACACGAGUAUUGCCGACAGAAAACCUUAGAAACCUCACACACAGAUGAAGGUACGCAAAAAGCUGAAGAUAAAGCACUAUCAGAAACAAAUGCAAAAGGAAAAAUGCAAAGUGAGGGCUCAGUCUGCUAUUUAUAAUGAGACAACCCCUCGAUAUCCCAAACGCUCAGCCACACCAUCAUUGAAACGACACGCUGUCUGGGAAUACCCAGAGACAGCGGCUAAUCAUAAAUGCUCUCCUCUCUCUUUGCCCCCGCUCGCCACGUGGCCCAAUGAGCGCAAAAAAGGUAACCUUAGUUUCAAAAACAAUUAUUUUUAACCCGCCCAUUCUGCUCAGGCAAAAUCGGCAAGUUAAAAAGGGGGACAUUGUAGGGACCCCUCCCCCUGAUGACGCGUGGCGCACAUUUCCUGAUGACACGUGACACAUAUUUCUAUCCGGAUUUCCCCAAGAGGACACGUGGCGCGCUUCUCCUAUCCGGACUUCCUUAGGGAGAAGCACACGACACUCGCAAACAUCACAUCCGGACGAUCGCCAUAUCACAUCCGGACGACCGACAUAUCCUAUCCGGAUAUGUUUGUCUGAAUCGUUAACUAAAGUAAGCAAGUCUUACUACGUCAUUUCAAUAGCCUGCCACGACCCACGUUCCGCCACCUGCAGAGUGAAAAGACAGGAAUGAUGGCAAGUCACUUCCUACGAUCUUUGAUAGCUGCGGCGCCUCCCACGAUCUCUGUCAGCCGCCCGUAGGGUGAUGAUGGCCCUGUCACCACCUAGAGGCAUCAUGACAAACCAAAAUAUCUCCCUACCAUUAAAGAGAGAAACAAAGCUCCUAAAUGCUAUAUAUAUGAACCUUCACAUAAAGAGGAAGGUAAGCUUGCUACACCUAGUAAAAAACCAACUGAUUAUUCUCUCUAACCAUGGCUAACAAAACCAUCGGAGGGUGUGUCCGGACACCCUGUCCGAACGCCUUUUGCAAGAACGACUGAACUAGGAAUCUAUAUUGGUUGAGAUCGUGCGUCCAUCCAUUUGGCAACUGCGUGGAUCAUUAGGGACGCGAGGCCUCAACAAUGUAGUAUUCAAUUCCAUGGUUUUUAUAUUCACAUAGUUUCUAGGAGACUUUAUAGAUGUUUUUUCACUUAAAAAUCUGUAGCUUAUGUGAUUGAUUUCUCUUUUCAUUCUCUAAUUAUUAAAGAAGAAUUAAAAAUUUGUAUCUAGGAGACUUUAUAGAUGAUUUUCUCUUUUCAUUCUCUAAUUAUUAAAGAGGAAUUAAAAAUUAAAAAUUUGAGUUAAAAAGAAGUUAUUCACCCCUUAUACGUAAUUCAUAAUUAAAAUCUACAAACUUCCAAGUGUUUUGGGGAUGAAAAUAUAAAUAUUAAUAUUCAUGCCUAAACUUUCAACCCAUUAUAUUUUACCACCUUGGUCCUUAAAAUUUUCAAAUCAACCUGAGAUUUUGUAAGAUUAAAAUAUUACAAGCAAGAGCAAUACAACACUUUGAAAAUCCAAGUCCUUGAAAACUUAAAAUCUUCAAAACUCUUUUCCUAGCUAGAUUUAUUUGAGAAAGCUAAGCAAGGUCUCUAUCCUCUUAACUCAUCUAAUGACAAUGAUCAAAUUAUAUUACUUCCUAGACUUAAGACCUUCAUUUAUUUAAGAAUUCUAUAACUUGAUUCACAAAAGAUGAGAAUUUAUUUAUUUCUAUAAUAAGGUAAUUAGCUCUAGAACCCUUGAUAUAAAUUACUUCCUACUAGGAACUAAUUCCUAUAUAUACCCAAAAAAGCUCUCCUCCAUGCCCUACAUUUGGAAAUAAACAAAAAGUUCAUUGUGUAAUUCACUGUUCACCCUAGGUAUAAUGUCCACAUGCCUCUACAUUAAUCUUAUAUAUAUUUAUAUAAUUCUAAAGAUAUAAUGUUUACAUAAAGGCUUGCAAAAUGGUGUCUCAAGCGCAAGCAAGAUCAUGACCAUCAUAAUACUUAUUCCUUAUUUAUUUAUUUAUUUAUUUUAAGUAAGCAUAUAUGAUCAAUUUGAUUCCUCAAUACCUUUAUUAAUGGCAGUUUAGUUUGAUUCAAUAUUUAGGGCCACAUGAAAAAUGAUGUCAAAUACUAUGAAUGUUAGAUAAAGGUUUUUUUUUUUUUUAAUAAAAUUAACAUAAAGGAUAUGUGAAAGCUAGUAGCAUUGAACUCUUAAUAAUUAUUUUUUAAUGUUUUAAAUAGAAAAAGAAAAAAGUAUUUAUCUUACAAAUUAAAGUGACUCAAAUGUAAAAGAUGGGAUAAAGAGAGAGAAUAGAUAGCUACCUAAAUUAAAAUAAUUAUAAGGAUCAAUUAGGAGGUUUUAAAAACAAUAAAUUCUUGCAUGAAAACAUGAGAUAUGUAAACUUUACUUUCAUGAAGAGGCCAAGAUAUCAAAAAAAGAAAAAAAAACUGAAAACUUGAUACCAAAUUAUUUUUAUUUUUAUUUUUUUUGACCUUUCAUGUAUUGGAAGUUUGCAAAUUGCUGAAUUUUUUUACCCAUAUUUAUUUAUAACCUUUUGGUGUGACAUAUACAAUAAAUAUAUUUUAAAAGUUCAUUUUCUAAAUGUGUCAUCAAAGCAGGUAAGAAACUUAUCAUAAAAUAUGAAUUAAUUUUCUUUAUUUUGACCUUGCAUAUUGAUAUUGAUGGAGAAGUCUAUGCUUAUUAAUGUUCAACAACUAAUAUCAUUUAAUACCAGCUCUAGAUAGAAUUUAAAAUGAUUGUAGAGUUUUAUAAAUGAAAGACGACAGUAGAAUUAAAUAACACUUUUGAAAAGAAUCUUUAUUAAUAUAAAAAUAAAUAAAUACAUUGAAUGAUUCAAAGAUUCUCUAAAUUUUUUAUUCAUUUUUGGCAAUCACUAUUAUUUAAAUUUGUGGACACCAAGAUAUAAAUACUUUUUUCAAAAAUCAACAUAAAAUAUAUAAUAAUUGAAAAUUUUAAAUGAAUAUAUCUGUGCUCCUACUUUGAUUUUCCAAUAUAUGUAUUGCUCAUAUUUUGAUUUUUAUCAAAUCAAACAAUUUCAUUUCAAAGGAACAAUCAUAAAGAGAAUUAAAUUUUGAAAUGCAAAAUUAUUCAAUCAUAUUUAUGCUAACAUUGGAUGACACAAAAAUUAUAGUUUAACUAAUGGUAUUAGGUUUACAUGUUGGAUACAUUGAUAAAUGUUGAUAUAAAACCCAAAAAAAAUAUGAUAAAAAGGGGAAUGUGAAGCUUAAUAGUACCAAACUCUAUUAAUAUAGUUAUAAAAUAAACUAUGACCACAACUCGCUUAUGAAUACAUAUUUAGUCGCAAUUUCAAUUAUCCUAAAAAAAUAUAUGAUGAUUUUUUAGGUUAUUAUUUUCAUUCAAACAUUCACAAAAAUAGGAAUUAUUUUUUUAUUUUAAUUUUUUUUUACAAAUCAAUGGACAAUACUUCAUUCACUAUAACUAAAGCUUACAUGUGAUUAGUGUUUUAUUUAUUUAUUAUGACUAACAAAUAGUAACAACAAACUUUUUUGUAAUGAUAUAACCACCCAGGAUCUCAUUUAUUGUUGCACUUUCUACUAUAGAAGUGGAGUAUCUUUCUUUUGUUGAGAUGGACGUUUGAAGAAAUUAAAACAUCAUCAAGAGAAAGGAACAUUGUCAUUAUGUGUAGGUAUUGCAAUAACCAAAAGUCUAGUUUUUUCAUGUAAGGAUCAAGCAUCAUUUUGUUAAACAUGGAAAAGGUAUCAUAAAGUUGUAAAAGAAGACACAUUGUAGUUGUAUUCACCAAACCAGUGAAGUUAGAAACUUUCAUUAGGACCAAAUAAAAGCUUGAUGUUUAACUACUCUAAGUUAAGAAUACAAUCUAAGCUUAUCCAGUAAACACCGUACACACUUAAUUAAUGUGUGAUUUUGGAGUCUACAUAAAAGUGUAUUUUGUUGGGAAUUUAAAUCUAAGGAAAUGUGUACACUUCGGAAAUUACAAAUUAGGAAGUUGUUUUGAACUAUAAAUUUAUUUAUUUUAAUCAAAGUGAUUAAUAUAUAAAAAAAACGAUAAAUUUAUGAUCCAUGAAAUGUGUACAUCCCAUAUCUCAACUUAGGAUAAUUGUAUUCCAUAAAGUGGGGAUAUAAAAAAAAUGUUGUAUAACAUAUUGCACCACUUAUCCUAACUAAUGUUGGGUUAGGCAUGGAAUAAGAUAUAUCCUCUCAUCUUUUCUUCAAUCUCAUUCUAUAUCUAGAAAACCAAACAUUACCUAAGAGUUUUUGUAUUUUGUAUUUUAUAUAGAAGUCACAAUUAUAUAUAUAUUUUUCUAAAUAAUAAAAGAAGUGUAUCCAAACAAGCAUGAUGUAGUCUAAUUUUGAAAAUGAAAUUGUUUAUGGGGUUAUAAUAUUUGGUGGUGUUUGCUUUUUUGGCUUUUUGUUGAAAACAAUUUGUUUUUAGAAUUUAGGUUGUUUGUUUUUUUACUUUUUCAUAACUUAUUAUAAAAUUUUUACUAAAUAGAAAAAACCAAAAUAUGUAGUUUUUUCUAAAUAGAAAAAAUAACAUAUUGGUUUUUUUUACUUUUUAAUACUUAAUAAAAAUAAAAUACUAUAAAAACAAACAACCUAAUAUUUAACACUAUUAAGCAUUAACUUUCUAUUUAGAAUUAAGUAAAAAAACAAACACCAUCUUAGAUUUCAUUAAUCCCAUAUAUUCAACAUAAGAUUGAAACAUUUUGUUGCAUGCUAAAAACAGCUGAAUAUUUAUGAUGAUUAGCUGAUGACCCUUUGACCGGUUCUUCAGUAAGAAAGAAGAGAAUCGGGCCUCUCUUUAUGACACUUGGAAAUAUAAAAAUAGCGCACACACAGUGAAUCAGACAUGUAUCAUUUUGAUUCUUAUUCAUACUACUUCAGGGACUCUAAAAGCGAUGUGAAGUGGUUCAUUUAGAUGCUGCUGCUGCAAGUUUGGCAUCACGAAGGGCCUGGAACUUGGCAAUCAUCUUGUCUCGAGGUGGCCAGUUGUCCUUGAUUAUUGGAGAAUCCGCAAAGUCUUUCAUCCACGCCGACAACAAUGGAAACUUGUCUUCACCCACAAUUUUCAGGCCAGCUACAUCUUCCAAUAUGCUGAUCAAGUUAGCAAGCCAACCCAAUGCAAGAUCAACAAACCCAAUCCUUUC